Molecule: long non-coding RNA, 56803 nt
Filed under: Triticum aestivum (bread wheat)
Lineage: Eukaryota; Viridiplantae; Streptophyta; Magnoliopsida; Poales; Poaceae
Description: long non-coding RNA (TAES_LNC007228)
Source: RNAcentral
UUGCUGGUGCUUCGCAAGCUGCCCCGGCAAGGGCCUUGCCGGGGUUAUGCAAGCCGCCUCGGCAAGGGUGUUGUCGGGGGAGGUGCAGCUUGCCUUCUGCUCUCAUUCCACUGUCUUGAAUGCUUGUCUUGGUAGUAUUGUAUUAUGUUGCCUACUGCCCCGCCAAGCCCUACCGCCGGUGUGGCUACAACUGCCCAUGCACAAGUAAGGGGUACAGAAGAUCCCAUACUUUUGUACACCGACAAAAAAUGAUAUAAAAUGAUUGUAAAACAUCCAAGAAUGAUAAUAUAACAACAUGGAACAAUAAAAAUUAUAGAUACGUUGGAGACGUAUCAGGCCCUUAGGUCUACAAAGAACUACUCACGCAUCAUUGGAGAGGCACCAAUGAACAUGAUGAACCUCUCCGAGAUGGUAUCUAAAUUGGAUCUGGUGUUUCUGGAACUUGCGGCGGAUGGAAUUGAUUUUCAUCGACUCCCCUAGGGUUUCUGGAAUAUUGGGGUAUUUAUAGAGCAAAGAGAUGGUGCGGUAGGCCACCGAGGUGGGCACAACCCACCUGGGUGCACCUGGGCCCCCAGGCACGCCCUGGUGGGUUGUGCUCCCCUCGGAGCUCCCCUAACGUACUUUCUUGGCCCACUGGAUGUCUUCUGUUCCAAAAAAAACCACAAGAAGUUUCGCUGUGUUUGGGCUCCUUUGGUAUUGAUUUCCUGCAAUGUAAAAAACAAGCAGAAAACAGCAACUGGCACUUGGCACUAUGUCAAUAGGUUAGUACCAAAAAAUGAUAUAAAAUGAUUGUAAAACAUCCAAGAAUGAUAAUAUAACAACAUGGAACAAUCAAAAAAUUAUAGAUACGUUGGAGACGUAUGAUCUAGUUGUUGUCCUAUCAUAUCCGAAGGAAUUUCAUAACCAAAAAUUUUCAGUAGGUGCAGUAGGUUGAGGGGUAACUAAUUAUGGUUCCGGUCAAGGUGAAGAUACCCUGAACAAACCCCUCAAAUGAUUGUUUUCCAUAGUAACAAGUGACAAUAAAUUUCAGCACGUAGUAAUAAUUUUUCCUUACCGAUUUCCACUUACCAAGAGCGCUUCACUCCCCGGCAACGGUGCUAGAAAAGAACCUUGAUGACCCACAAGUAUAGGGGAUCAAUCGUAGUCCUUUCUAUAAGUAAGAGUGCCGAACCCAACAAGGAGCAGAAGGAAAUGACAAGUAGUUUUCAGCAAGGUAUUCUCUACAAGCACUAAAAUUAUAAGUAACGAGUAGUUUGAUAGCAAGAUAAUUUGUAACGAGCAAGUAAUGGUAAUGGUAACAAAAGUGCAGCAAGGUAGCCCAAUCCUUUUGAGGCAAAGGAUAGGCCAAAAUAGUCUCUUAUGAUAAUUAAAACGUUCUUGAGGGUACAUGGGAAUUUCAUCUAGUCACUUUCAUCAUGUUGUGGUUUGUGUUCACUACUUUGAUAAUUUGAUAUGUGGGUGGACCGGUGCUCAGGUGUUGUUCUUACUUGAACAAACCUCCUACUUAUGAUUAACCCCCUCGCAAGCAUAUGCAACUACGAGAAAAGUAUUAAGAUAAAAUCUAACCAUAGCAUUAAACUUUUGGAUCCAAAUCAGUCCCUUACGAAGUAACGCAUAAACUAGGGUUUAAGAUUCUGUCACUCUCGCAACCCAUCAUCUAAUAACUACUCCACAAUGCAUUCCCUUAGGCCCUAAUAAGUUGAAGUUCCAUGUAGUCGACGUUCACAUGACACCACUAAGGGAAUCACAACAUACAUACCAUCAAAAUAUCGAACACAUAGCAAGUUCACAUGAUUUCUUGCAACAAGAUUUAUCAUGUGACCUCAAGAAAAAAAGUAACUACUCAUAAAUGAUAAUCAUGCUCAAGAUCAAAGGGGUAUUAAAUAGCAUAAUGGAUCUGAACACAUAAUCUUCCACCAAAUAAACCAUAUAGUAAUCAACUACAAGUUGUAAUCAACACUACUAGUCACCCACAAGCACCAAUCUAAGGUUCUGGUACAAAGAUUGAACAGAAGAGAUGAACUAGGGUAUGAGAGGACAUGGUGUUGUUGAAGAUGUUGAUGGAGAUUGCCCUCCCCAAGAUGGGAUAGUUGUUGGUGAUGAUUAUGAUGAUGAUUUCCCCCUCCGUGAGGGAAGUUCCCCCGGCAGAAUCACUCCAUCGGAUGGCAAAAGUGCUCCUGCCCAAGUUCCGCCUCGAGACGGCGACGCUUUGUCCCGAAAGUCCUCUCCUUAUUUUUCUAGGUCAAAAUGACUUAUAUACCAGAAGAGGGGCACCAGAGGUGGCCCGAGGAGGGCACAACCCACCAGGGCGUGUAUGGGCUCCCUGGCGCGCCCAGGUGGGUUGUGCCCACCUGGUGGGCCCCUCUGGUAGUUAUUUGCUCCAAUAAUUCUUAUAUAUUCCAUAAAAAAAUCCAUGAAGUUUCAGCUCAUUUGGAGUUGUGCAUAAUAGGUGGCCUGACAUAGCUUUUUCAGGUCUAGAAUUCCAGCUACCGGUAUUUUCCCUCUUUGUGGGAACCUUGCAUCUUAUGAGAGAAAAGGCAUUAGAAUUACUCCAAAAAGCAUUAUUAUACAUAAAACCAAUAUAAGUAAUAGUAGGAAAACAUGAUGCAAAAUUGAUGUAUCACGGCGCCACGAUUCGGACAACCCCGGGGAUCCACCUACCAACGCUGAGAACCAGUCGAAUCCUCUGUUGGACUUGCGCAUCUUUUCAGUGUGUGGACAAGAGGAGAAGAGGAGAGGUUGUGGUGCACGUAGCUAAGAUGGGGUUUGCUGGCAAGGCCAGCCUGCUUAAAUGGUCUGGCCAAGUGCAUCCGUGCUGCUUCAAUGUAGGUGCAGUGAGCGAAGUAGGCUUCUCAAUCACCGCAUUUGCAUUGAAAAAGUGUCAAAUAGUCGUCUGGUCACAACAGUUUGACCGACAUGAAUGCAUGCAGGCAGUCGCUGAGUCGCGUCCUCUCUAAGCGUAGAUAAAUGUGCACGAGGCUUUUGGAAUGGAACACGCAUUGAGGGUUUUGGGUUGGACCACAUUGUCAGAGUCAUACGUUGUAGACGUCCGAACUCCCUCAACCCCCUAGAUGUUUGCGAAUUUAGACGUGUGGAUUGGUCCGCGGAUGUUUAUUGCAUGUGUUGGAUGGCACAAAGUGUGUGAACCUGUUGUCUGGACGUUUAGCUGGGUUUCGAGGUACUGCAUUGGAGAUGCCUUAACGAUGGAAGUGAUUUCCAAGAAUCGGCUUUUGUGCAAAUCCUUGAUCCCAAACAAGGCAAACUCGUGGGUAUAUACAAUGAACCACUAUGUAUGUUGUUUUUUAAAAAACUGUCAGGGGGGAGACUUCCCGCUUGAAUAUAUUUCAAAUUAAAAUAACAACAAAGUUUAGGUGAGAUGAGAGGAGAAAAAAUCCCCCCACAAGCUGGCAUGGAUUUUUGGUUUGUCUUUUUUAAGGCGUGAGACCAGAGAGUGGGGUCUGAGAUUAUGGAGCAGGUUACAUCAUUGUGAGAGAGGUGCUCAUCCUUAAAAGUCGCAGCAUUACGAGCAUCCCAAAUUUUCCAUGGAAUAAGAGGAGAAGAAACGGCCAAACUAAGUUGGGCAGACCCAGGUGGAACGAUGAGUUCCACAACUUGGACAGAGGGGAUGAAAUCGACGGCAGUCCAAGGCCGUCCCAAAUAGCAGCAUACGUUGGGUAGCUGAAAAAUAAGUGGCCCAUGUCUUCCUAUGUUGCAUGGCGUCAAGGGCAUGACGGAGAGUCGAGGAUGGUCUUGCGAUGGAGGUUAGCCCAAGUGUUUAGUCGGUCUAGAUAGAACAGCCAACCAAACACCCGGACCCUGUUGGGAACUCAAAAGUCCCAAAUUGGACCAGGUUGGGGUCCGACAACUGUGAGGCAAGGGUGGCAUAGGCCCCUUUGGUAGAGAAUGCCUCACCAUUGAGCAAAGAGCACUCAUUUGGGGAUCCAUAGAAAUGAACAUCCUGCGGCAAAAGUCUCAAAGAAGCAAGUUCAUUGGAAGUAGUUAAGAUUAGUCGGCUACGUAAGUCAGAUCAAUCCCAUCCAUCAAUUAUUUUUUAACUAAAACAUUUUGGCUUUGUGUAGUGUGUAAACAGAGCUGGGAAGUAAGUGGAGAGAGGUUCUGGAGUUAACCAACGAUCUAGACAAAAGAAGGUGGAGGAGCCAUCACCAAUCUUAACAUGUGAGAUCUCUCUAAGAGUGUGAAGGUUGAAUUUUGUCUUACCAAGGAAGGAUGCAUUACUACCAAGGCCUAUAUGCAGGGGAGAGUGGUCGAGUAUCAAAUCCUUCCAAGGUAAUGGAGGAGACUGAAGGAAUUUGAAUGCAAGGGCUUUUGUAGGGCAGUUUUGGAGGGAGAAGGGUCUAAAAGCAUCUGGGGUAGGGGAGUUAGAAGAUUUGGGGAUUAGGACAAUGAACGCUCGGUUUACACAGGAGAUAUCCGACGACACGUUAUAGAAACUAAGAAACAUAUUAGAUGCCUUUUGUUUAAGUAUAGGGAAAAAUUUGCGGUAGAACAGAGAGCCGAAACCGUCCGGCCCGUGGCUGGCAAAAACGUUCAUGUCGGCAAAAGCAUCAUAAAUUUUUUGACCCGAGAAAGGAGAGUCUAGGUGCAAAAGUUGUGGCGUUUGCAGUGAGUAUAGGGCCAGCUAUUUUGAUAUGUGGCUUGUACAUAAGCUACAGUGAAAAUAAGGUCCCUGUAAAUAAGCCAUUCAAUUCUUUUUUGUUUCUGUUUGUUUAGCUUUGUUUCCUGAUAAACUAGUGAAAAGUCUGCGAUACCCUUGGAGGCAUCAUUCUGUCAGGUAUGUGAAUUAUUAUUUGCAUGUCGCAGGGACGACUUGUUCUAUUGGUUGAGUGAUGACAGUUUUGCUGUAAAUACAAUCAACGAAAAGGGCAAGGAGAAAUACCGCUUCACUUUUUAAAGGGUUGCGCUCGGUAAGCCGCCCUUCACUGGCUUAUCUCAAAUGUGAAGGAGGGGGUUAUCACUGAUAUUAAGCUAAUGGCACGUAAACGAGUUCUUUGGGGCUCGAACUUAUUUCCACCAUAAGCCUUCCAUAAGUGUGAAAAGAACUGAGCCUAGGUGUUGUAGCGAGAAGUUCCAAGUUAGUGAGAAAGUCGUUCCCAGAAUGGAGGAGUAGUAGGAAGUAAGAAUCUGGCAUUUUGCAUCAUGGGAUGUAAAAACUUGAUUAUCAUGAGAGAUGGAUUUUAUUUUAUUUUGUCCAUGCCUUUGAGAGGCAGAUGCAUGAAAGUACCAUGAGUUUUUGUCACCAUCAAUGGCAGUUUUUCUUACCCGAGCCGCCAGUAAAUUAUUUUUCCCGAACAGUUCUAUGAAGAACCUUAAUGACGACCCGCCUAAGGGCAAGUUCUAACAGAGAAAGGAAACAAGAUGUAUGUAUGUUCAUUAAGCGCAUUGGGUGUUAGUUCAUGAUUUUUUUUGGUUUGGAAACUUAACAUUCUAUAUUUGAGCAUAUGUUUGUUACUCAUGUAAGCAAGAUAAAAAAAUGUGGUGUAAAACUUUCCCAUGGAUCUUCUUGAUUCUUAUUUGGCUUUUGUCGACAAUUUUACGUGGAAUUUGUAUUCGUGAGGACAUUAUGUCAUGAUAACAAUAGUUUAAAGGGACACACAUUAUCCAAGUUUGUGUCCCAAGGUGGGUAAACCCCUUACUCCUUGCCUUGUUAAUUCAUUGUACAUUUGAAGAAUAUCGAAGAUUACAAUUUCAAGGGGUAUCCAACGGGUUGUGGUGGUGAUUUCUAUGAGAAACACCCAAAAUCACUAUGUGAUGUAUAGGGUAAAGCUAGGUGGAAAAGUACCCCCUUCUACAUUGUUGUUGCUGCCCUUUAUAUAGCUCCGGCAUGGAAAGCUCCAUGUGGUAAGAGUCCGACUAGUAUUUGAAAAGGACCCCCUUCUACUAGUGUUGUAGAGAGUUUCUCUUAGAUGUUGUGUAUUUGCAUGUGGCAGAUGUCGUCUCUGCGGAAGCGGCGACAUUACUUGAAGGUUUAAAGAUACUUCAAAGUAUGGGGGUGCAAUAAUGUCUUGGUGAGGAUGGAUAAUUCUUUGUGGUUGAUGCUAUAUAUACAUCUGAAUGAGGGACAUUCUAUGGUGGCGGCUCCACUUUUAGAUGAUUCCAGAGAGUUAUUACGAGAGUUCGGGAAGGUUACUAUUGAGCAUUGUAAUAGGGAACCAAAUGUAGUUGCUCGUGAUAUAGCUGAGUGGGGGCGUGAAAGCACCCCUUCUUUAUGGAUGGAUGCACCUCCGUGUACCAUUGCUAUUUGUUUAGCAGAUGAUGUAAGCAGUAUUUGAGAUUAACAAAGCUAGCCAUGAAGGCCUUCCCGUCAAAAAAGAAAGAAAUAAAGAUGCUGUGUAUUUGCAUGGAAAGUCUCCACCAGUCUCGAUGGAACUUCUCCUUCAUUUGAUGUCUUCUCUUUGGGCUCUAUAGGGUCCGCUGAUACUAUGUUGAUAGAGGCAUGUGAUACAUCUCAGUCGUACCUGCUCUUCCUAACACUUUUCCUCUUGUUUUGGAUUCUAAUUUGCAUGAUUUGAAUGAAACUAACCCGGACUGACGUUGUUUUCAGCACAACUACCAUGGUAUUGUUUUUGUGCAGAAAUAAAAGUUCUCAGAUUGGAAUGAAACUUUGCGAGGAUUUUUUAUAAUAAAAGAAAAUACUGGAGCCAAAAACCACCAGAGGGGGGGGGCCUGGGUGAGCACAACCCACAAAGGCGCCCCCCUCAGGCGCGCCCAGGUGGGUUGUGCCCACCUGGUGGCCCCAUAGACCUUGAUUCCAAUGAUGUAAAAUCCUAUUCUUCCAGAAAAAAAUCAGGGAGGAAGAAUUAUCUCGUUUCGCAACACGGAGCCGCCUCCACCUCCUGUUCUUCAUCGGGAGGCCAGAUCUGGAGUCCGUUUUGGGCUCCAGAGAGGGGGAUCAUCGAUCUUUGUCAUCACCAACCCUCCUUCAUCGCCAAUUCCAUGAUGUUCCACACCGGGAGUGAGUAAUUCCUUCGUAGGCUCGCUGGUCGGUGAGGAGUUGGAUGAGAUUCAUCAUGUAAUCGAGUUAGUUUUGUUAGGGCUUGAUCCCUAGUAUCCACUAUAUUCUGAGGUUGAUGUUGAUAUGACUUUGCAAUGCUUAAUGCUUGUCACUUUGGGCUCGGGUGCCAUGAUUUUAGAUCUGAACCGUUUAUGUUAUCACCAUUAUAUCUAUGUUGUAGAUCUGAUCUUGCAAGUCAUAUUCACCUAUUACGUGUUAUGAUCCAUAAACCCCAGAGUGACAAUAGUCGGGAUACUUUCCGGUGAUGAUCGUAGUUUGAGGAGUUCAUGUAUUCACUAUGUGUUAAUGCUUUGUUCCGGUUCUCUAUUAAAAUCAGGCUUUAAUAUCCCUUAGUUUUCAUAUGGACCCGCUGCCACGGGAGGGUAGGAAAAAACAUGUCAAGUUAUUUCCAUAAGCACGUAUGACUAUUUACGGAAUACAUGCCUACAUUAAAUUUAUGAACUGGAGCUAGAGCCGCAUCGCCCUAGGUUAUGACUGUUAUGAUGAAUAUCAUCCAAGGAAUUCACCGAUCCAAUGCCUAUGAAUUUCUCUUAUAUUGUUCUUGCUAAGUUACUACUGCUACUAUUAUUGUUACACUUGCUACAAAAUCAUUGCUAGCAUUGUUACUGUUACUAUUGUUGUUGCUACUACUAUCAAAACUAUCAUACUACUUUGCUACUGAUCACUUUGCUACAGAUAAUUAAUCUCCACGUGUGGCUGAAUUGACAACUUAGCUGCUAAUACUUGUGAAUAUUCUUUGGAUUCCCUUGUGUCGAAUCAAUAAAUUUGGGUUGAAUACUCUACCCUCGAAAACGGUUGCGAUCCCCUAUACUUGUGGGUUAUCAAGACCUUUUUCUAGCACCCUUGUCGGGGAGCAUAGCUAUAUUUUGCGAGUCACUUGGGAUUAUUAUCAAUUUAUCAGUAUGAAGAAUCUGAAGGAUACCAAGACUAAAUUAUUUCCAUCUAAGAUGAGGGGAGGUAAGGAACUGACAUCUAGCUCUGCACUUGAUUCACCUUCUAUUUUGAGUAAACUUGCAACACCACCACAUGCUAUUAAUCCUAAUAUGUCGCAAGUUAUUGAUGAUGCUACUUCUGCUAUGGAUAAUGCUUAUGAUGAUGCUAGUACCUUGCUUGACGAUGGUGUGCCACUAGGUGAUUUUCUUGAUGAACAAAUUGCUAGACCUAAAGAGAAUGAAAUUACUAAAACUGAUGAAAUACCUGAAUCUGAAAAUCUUGAGACACCUAUUAGACCUAGUCCUCCGAGAUAUGAAUUGCCUAAGAUACCGGAAGGUUAUGUUAUGGUUGAGGAGACAACUAGAGUCUUUCUUGCUUGCAAUGAUAGAGAUGAUCUUAAGAAAUUACUAUGCAAACUGAAAGAAAAAUCUCUGAAUGCUAGAAUGAAAUGUGAUCCUAAGUUUGCUACUUCACCUAUCUUUGUUGAUGAUAAGGAUUAUGAAUUCUCUGUUGACCCAGAGUUAAUUACUUUGGUUGAAUCUGAUCCUUUCCAUGGUUAUGAAACUGAAACUGUUGUGGCACAUCUUACUAAGCUGAAUGACAUAGCCACCCUAUUUGCUCAUGAUCAGAAAAUUCGCUACUAUUAUAUUCUCAAAUUAUUUUCGUUCUCAUUAAAGGGUGAUGCUAAGACUUGGUAUGAUACUCUUGCCCCUGGUUGUGUGUGUAGUCCCCAGGAUAUGAUUUAUUACUUCUCUGAAAAAUAUUUUCCCGCUCAUAAGAAACAAGUUGCCUUACAGGAAAUAUUUAACUUUGUGCAAAUUGAAGAAGAGAGUCUCCCACAAGCUUGGGGAGGCUUCUCCAAUUGUUGAAUGCUUUGCCUGAUCAUCCUCUUAAGAAAAAUGAAAUACUUGAUAUCUUAUAUAAUGGACUAACCGAUGCUUCUAGGGACUUCCUAGAUAGUUGUGAUGGUUGUGUUUUCAGGGAACGAAUUGUUGAACAAGCUGAAGAAUUAUUGAAUAACGUAUUUAAAAAAUAUGAUGAUUGGACUCUUCCUGAACCACCGCCUAAACCUACUCUGAAGAAGAGGGGUAUCUUAUAUCUCAGUCCUGAAGAUAUGCAAGAGGCAAAGAAAUGUAUGAAGGAAAAAUGUAUCAAAGCUGAGGAUGUCAAAAAUUUACCUCCUAUCGAAGAAAUGCAUGGGCUUGAUACAUCACCACCCAAGGUGGUAGAGGUAAACUCUUUAAUGAAAUUCAAUGAUAAUGACAAUCCUUAUAAUAUGCAUCCUAGUUAAUGCCUUUAUGAGUUUGAUAACUACAUUAUAAAACAAGAUCACUACAAUGCAAAUGUUAUGAAACAAUUGAAAUACAAUUCUGAUAUGAUUGCUCGCUUGAGUGACUUGUUAUUUAGAAUCUCAAAUGAUGUUAGAGGUGUAGGAAAACACGCCUCUAUGGUUCAAACUCAACUGGAACAAGUUGAUAAAUCUCAAAGAGAAUUGCUUGAUGAAAUGAACAAUAAUAUAAAUGAUUUUGCUGUUAGAGUAGCAACUAGGGGAGGUAAAAUGACUCAGAAACCACUUUAUCCUGAGGGACGACCAAAAAGAAAUGAACAAGAUUCUCAAAGAAUUAACACUGAUGCACCUAGUUCCUCUAAAAAGAGAAAGAAAAACAAAAAUGAUAGGACUUUGCAUACCUCUAGUGAACUUGAGAUAGAAAAACUUCCUGAAGCUAAUAAUGAUAUUUCUAUUUCUGAUGCCGAAACUCAAUCUAGUCACCUAGUGAUAAUAAAAAGAUAAUGAUGAGGUUCAUGAAGGCACUCGAACAAACAAUGAAGAACCAAAUAAUGAUGUUGAAAUAGAACCAGCUGUUGAUCUUGAUGUGUAGCGACCCGACCCGAAUGGAUCAAGUCUCUGUGCUCCGAUGUCAUCCCUGGAUCAGUAAUGCUGACACCACACAGUACUUCGAAGGAUUUAUAGCAGAGUAGCAAACACACACUUAUUACAUCGUUUAUCCAGAAGAGGACUUAUUACAGUAAUCAUGGCUUAAGGCCAUCUAAUAACGAUAACAGCGGAAGACUUGGAAGAUAAGUGAGUCCAACAACUCCAACGGCAUCACUGAGUAUAGAACCACGACCUAAAAGCACCUUAUUCGUCGUCUGAAAAGUCUGCAACAUGAAAAGUUGCAGCCCAAAAACGGGUCAGCACAUGGAAUAUGCUGGCAAUGUAACACAUAGAGAGAGGUAAUGAGUAUUGGCUAUACUACAUGCAUAUUUGGCUGGUGGAAAAGCUCUAUGGUUACAGUUUUUGCAUAAAGCCAGUUUUUCCCUACUACAAAGGAAUAAAUUUAUUUAACUAUCAUGGUAGUUGUUAAACAUUGAGAAUGGUUGACAGCAUUCUCAAUCCCAAUUAAAAGUACUCAUUAGAAACCCACCAAUAUUAAUUAGAAGUAACAUGUUGAGAUCCACAUGAUAUUCAAGUACUAGAUACUCAAGAUGUCCAUAACCGGGGACACGGCUAAUCAUGAUUAGUUUGUACACUCUGCAGAGGUUUGCGCACUUUUCCCCACAAGACUCGAUCGCCUCCGUUUGGUUUCUCGCACUACAUGGUGUUUAAGAAACGGAUGACCGAGACAUAGUCUUUCAGAAGCGCUAGCACCUUACGAUGGGUGGACCGGUACACCUACAUCCCCUACAUCUGCUAGUCCACCACUAUAAGAGUUUGCACGACUUAGUCAACUAUGCCAGAGCCCAUAAUGGCUUGUGGCUGCACACGUAAGUUACUAGUAUGAAUUAUCUUAUGAUCCCUUUGAGCCUGGGUGGCGGUCCAUAGGAAAAUCACACGGUACCCCGGGAUUUCCAAAAAAACAGGCAAGUCCUGGUAACUCCAGGUGCCUCAAUCCACCCAGAUGUGUAUUUAAGUUGCCACCUUAGAUAAACCUUUAAUUAACAAACUCACAUCUGUCAUGGAUAUUCACUCACCCAAUCCACGUCUACUAGCAUAGCAUGGCAUAAUAAGCAAACGUAGAAGUAACUCCCAAAGGUUUCAUAAGUAAAAUAGGUAUUAGGUACUACCUCAUCUACUUCCCAUCCCACAAUUUAAUUAGAUCCUAAUCAUGCAAUGUUUGAGGAUUGAUCUAAUGCAUAAAAACUGGGUUGUAGAAAAGGUAUGAUCAAAGUGUUACUUGCCUUGCUGACGAUACGCGAAACCUAAAGACUCGAAGUAACAAGCGGCGCACUCCGGGUGAUCUAUCGCAGACAAACAACAAGCAUACAAUAAGUACUCAUCUAAUGCACAGGUAAAUCUCGAAUAAAAGAUCUAACUAGAAAGUUCAACUUAAGAACUCUGGUGGCAAAAGAAUCAAAUCAAAAGCAACGAAAGUCAAACGGCGAGGGAAAACAACUCGGUUCUAGCAAGUUGAAUCUAGGUCAAAUUUUACAGUAGCAAAACUUUGUUUAAGUUGAUUAGCCGGAACGGCGGUUUCGAGAUGAAACUCCAGGCGUUUGAAUCACCUGAUUCCGAUAAACGAGCGAGAAGAUAGACUAGAAAGAAAAUCGGAUCUGAAAUCGCUAUCAGAAAAAUAGCGGAAUAAAUCCGAUGAGAAAGAAAACGACGAACGGUUGAACAAACGGGCGUUCAUUAACCGAGGCAAACCGGUGAUCACAUUCGUUAGGACGAACAGUCCGGCGAACGCUUGCUAAACAAAACCGGAAAGAAAAACCGGCGAGAAAAACCGAUCUAGGGUUUCGGAAAGAAAACCGAAACGUAAAACCGAUCUAGAAAACCGGAACGGAAACCGGAACGAUUUACGAAAAACCGAACCGAGGAAAAGAAAAGGUGACGCGGCGCGGGGCUAGUACCUCGAAGAGGCGAGGGGCUCCGGCGGUGGCGGCACUAGGCGGCGGCGGUGGCAAGCGGCGGUGGCGGUGUAGGGCGGCGGCGGUGGUGAGGGGCGGCGGUGGUGUAGGGCGGCAACGGUGGUGAGGGGCGGCGGUGGUGGUGCUGCGCUGCUGCUGCGGAGGAGGAGAGGAGAGGAGAGGUGUUGGUUUGAUGUGUUGGACGGGGGGUGCUUGGGUAUUUAUAUUGGGGAGGGGAGGGUUUUGCUUGGAGUAGGGGACAAGAAUUAGACUAGGAUUAGGAAUCCUAGGAACAAAAAACGGAAAAAUGAAACGGGUCCAAAUCCUACUAGGAUUUGUAAAAGAAAAGGAAACCGGGGCGCUGGCUCCCUGGCUCCCUGGCGCGGCGGCGCUAGCGAUGGCCUUGGCCUCCUGGCCGGCGGCUGGCUUGGCGGCUUGGGCCUUUGGCCCAAGGCGCUACAGUUUUUUUUAAAUCGGUUUCGCGCGCAGAAAAAAAACAGAAAAAAAUCUAAACGAACUCCAAAAUUAAUAAAGUAAACUUCCCCCGACUCCUAAAAAUGAGUCGAACAAAAUGAACUUUACUCGGGGCCUAAAAUGCAAAUUUUUGAAAACACGCAUUUUUCCCUAAGGCAAUAAACUCCGAGAAAAAUCCAAAAUUUGAUUUAUUUAUUAAAUCUUCAUUUUUCCUAAAUUUUGGGAAAGUCAUAUUAUUCCCUCUCUUAUUUUUGAUAUUGGAAAAAUAUUUGAAGAUAGAAUAAAUAAAUCCAAUGAUCCUCUUUUCAUAGUUUUGAGAAAACUCAAAUACGAAAAUUUCGAAAUCUCCAACUCUCUCCGAGGGUCCUUGAGUUGUGUGAAAUUUCUAGGAUCAACAAAUGCAAGAAAAUAUGAUAUGCAUGAUGAUCUAGUGUAUAACAUUCCAAAUUGAAAAUUUGGGAUGUUACAAACCUACCCCCCUUAAGAUGAAUCUCGCCCUCGAGAUUCGGGUUGGCUAGAAAAUAGGUGAGGGUGGUCCUUGAGCAAAUCUUCUUCUCUCUCCCAGGUGGCUUCAUCCUCUGAGUGGUGGCUCCACUGAACCUUGCAAAACUUGAUAACCUUGCUGCGAGUAACUCUGCUGGCAUAUUCGAGAAUCCUAACUGGUUUCUCCUUAUAUGUUAAAUCAUCCUUCAACUGAAUUUCUUCAAGUGGCACUGUAUCUCUUAACAGUACUUCCGCCAUCUCGGCGUGACAUUUCUUCAGCUGGGAAACAUGGAAUACGUCGUGAACUCCUGACAGUCCUUCUGGUAAUUCCAACUUAUAAGCAACUUCUCCCAUGCGCUGCAAAAUCCUAUAUGGUCCAACGAAACGUGGUGCUAACUUUCCUUUAACUCCAAAACGCUUAACUCCUCGAAGUGGGGAUACUCUAAGAUAAACUCUGUCUCCAACUUCAUAUUCUAUCGCCUUGCAUUUUGAAUCCGCAUAGCUCUUCUGUCUGGAUUGGGCUACCUUGAGCCUGUCUCGAAUCAGCUUAACUUUCUGUUCAGACUCCUUGAUCAAAUCUGGUCCAAACAACUGACGGUCUCCAACUUCAUAACUGUUGUCAUGGGACGAAACUGUUAUCUGAUACGAUACUCCUUGGAACUCCGUGCAAACACACAAUUCUGGUCAUGUAUAUCUUUGCCAACUUAGUGCUGCUAUAGGUAGUCUUGACUGGAAUGAAAUGCGCUACCUUCGUCAAGCGAUCGACUAUAACCCAAAUCGAAUCAUAGCCUGAACAAGUCUUUGGCAAACCCGUGAUGAAAUCCAUGCCUAGUUUAUCCCACUUCCAUUCGGGUAUCGGCAAUGGUUGCAACAAUCCUGCUGGCUUCUGAUGUUCUGCCUUCACUCUCUGACAUACAUCACAAACUGCUACAUACUCCGCGAUAUCCUUCUUCAUUCCGGUCCACCAGAAUGUUUCCUUCAAAUCCAAAUACAUCUUGGUAUUUCCUGGGUGAAUCGAAUAGGGUGAAUCAUGUGCCUCUUGUAGAAUCAACUUCCUGAUCUCCGGGUCAUUUGGCACAUAUACACAGUCCUCAAACCAUAGGGUAUCGUGCUCAUCCUCACGAAAUCCCUUUGCUUUUCCUUCGCUCAUUUUCUUCUUUAUAUCCGCAAUCUCUUUGUCAUUUUUCUGAGCUUCUCUGAUUUUAUCCAUCAAGGUAGACUGAAUUUCCAAUGCUGCUACGUAGCCUCUCGGAACUAUUUCCAAACAUAGCUCACGAAGAUCUUUUGCUAACUCCUUUGGUAUUUCUCCCGUCAAUAGCGUAUUGACAUGGCUCUUGCGGCUCAACGCGUCAGCUACUACAUUAGCCUUUCCAGGAUGAUAAUGCAAUCUCAUAUCAUAAUCCUUGAUGAGUUCCAACCAUCUCCUCUGUCUAAGGUUUAACUCUUUCUGCGUGAAAAUAUACUUCAAACUCUUGUGAUCCGUGUAUACCUCACAAUGAUUUCCAAUGAGGAAAUGUCUCCAUGUCUUCAAUGCAUGCACUACGGCUGCUAACUCCAAAUCAUGUGUGGCAUAAUUUAAUUCAUGGGGUUUCAGUUGUCGUGAAGCAUACGAAACAACUCUUCCUUCCUGCAUAAGCACUGCUCCAAGUCCUCGACGUGAAGCGUCGCAAUACACCUCAUAAUCCUUGGUCUGAUCUGGCAAAAUUAGCACUAGUGAGGUAACCAAUCUUUUCUUCAACUCUUGAAAACUUGCCUCACAGUCCUCAGUCCAUAUGAACUUGGUAUCCUUCUUCAACAACUCCGUCAUAGGCUUUGAAACCCUUGAGAAAUUCUCAAUGAAUCUCCGGUAGUAUCCUGCGAGUCCAAGAAAACUCCGGAUCUCUCCAACUGUCGUUGGUGCUUCCCAAUUGGUAACGGUCUCAACCUUUGUGGGGUCAACUGCUAUACCUUCUCCGGAUAUAAUGUGUCCAAGAAAUCCAACUUCCUUUAGCCAAAACUCACAUUUGCUGAACUUGGCAUAUAACUGAUGUUCUCUUAGCUUCUCCAAAACCAAUUGCAAAUGUUCCUUAUGUUCCUCUUCAUUCUUCGAGAAAACCAAAAUAUCAUCAAUGAACACCACGACGAACUUAUCCAAAAACUCCAUAAACACUUUGUUCAUCAGGUUCAUGAAAUAGGCCGGUGCGUUAGUCAGUCCAAAUGACAUAACGGUGUACUCAUAUAGUCCAUAUCUUGUGGUGAACGCUGUCUUAGGUAUGUCCUGCUCUCGAAUCUUCAGUUGAUGGUACCCUGAUCACAAAUCGAUCUUGGAAAACACUUUAGCUCCUUGCAAAUGUUCAAACAGAUCAUUUAUCAUCGGUAGUGGGUACUUGUUCUUGACUGUUACUUCAUUCAAUCCACGAUAAUCAACAACCAUCCUUAACGAUCCAUCCUUCUUCUCCACUAAUAGUACGGGUGAUCCCCAAGGCGAAGAACUUGGGCGUAUAUAACCUUUAUCCAACAGCUCCUUAAUCUGCUUCUUGAUUUCCGCCAAAUCCUAUGCGGGCAUCCUGUAUGGUCGCUUUGAUAUCGGGCAUGUUCCUGGCAACAGCUCAAUCAAAAACUCAAUGUCUCUAUCCAGUGGCAUUCCUGGCAAUUCCUCAGGAAAUAUAUCAGGAUAAUCCUUCACUACCGGCACCUCUUCCUGCACAACUCCUGAUAGGCAAUUUACAUGAGCUCUCCUUGGCUCAUGCCGUGAUACAUACUUAAUCCUUCUUCCUUCUGGCGUUGUGAGCAAAAUCGUCUUACUUGCGCAAUCGAUGUUUCCUCCAUACAUCGACAGCCAAUCCAUACCUAGAACCACAUCCAAUCCUUGGGAUUCCAGAACGAUCAAAUCCGUCGGGAACACAUGCCUUCCUAUACUCAAUGGCACUUGAAAACAUCCUUGUCUGGCCAUGUACUCUGCUCCUAGCGAGCUUACUAGCAUAGGCGUUUUAAGAAUCUGAGUAGAUAGACUAUACUUCUCUACAAAUCCCCUUGAUAUGUAUGAAUGCGAUGCACCAGUAUCGAAAAGAACAAGUGCAGUAAAUGACUUAACCAAAAACUUACCGAUUACUGCAUCGGGCUGAUCUUCAACCUCCUCCACAUCAAUGUGGUUCACCUGUCCCCUGUUGAAAGGGUUUGGCUUCUUUCCAGAGCUUCCAUUUCCACCUUGGCCUUCGGGACACUCACUUGCAUAAUGUCCGGUCUUGGAACACUUGUAACAGGUGACAUGGCUCAAGUCUUUCUUGGAUGGGGUUGUUGGUGGGGUCCGGUUCUGGCCGUUGCUUCCUCCAUUCCCAUUACCAUUCUUGUGGCCAUUAUGGUUGUACGAACUACUUCCUCCAUGGGUAUGCUGAAACUGCACUCCCUGUUUAGGGGUAUAACGGGGCUUCUACUGGGCUCCAGAGUUAAACUUCCCCUGCCCAUACUUCCUCUUGCGAUUUUCAAUCUGCUGCUGCUUUCCUUCAAUCAUGAGGGCGGGGUCUACCAACUCCUGGUAGUUAUUGAAUCUUGCUACCAUCAACUGCAGGCUUAACUCAUCAUUCAGUCCUUCCAGAAACUUCUCCUGCUUAGCUGCGUCUGUAGCAACGUCAUCUGGGGCAUAACGUGCUAACUUACUAAAAUCAUCCACAUACUGGUCAACAGUCCUUCCUCCUUGGCGUAAGUUGCGAAACUCACGCUUCUUCAUGGCCAUAGCUCCUGCUGAAACAUGGGCAGUGCGGAAAGCUUGCUGAAACUGAUCCCAUGUGACAGUGUCUACAGGGUAAGUGGCUGUGAAAUUCUCCCACCAUGCUGCUGCGGGUCCAUCAAGCUGAUGUGCAGCAAACUUCACCUUCUCACCAUCUGUGCAUCCUGCAGUGGUCAACUCCCGUCCUAUCUUGCGGAGCCAAUCAUCUGCUACAAUCGGCUCGGUGCUACUAGAAUACACCGGUGGAUGCAGCCUAAGGAAACGAGUCAAGUGAUCCCCAGGUGGUGGUGGUGGUGGGUUGUUGUUGUGGUUGCCUUGGUUCUGUACCAAUGUCUGAAUCAAGGUAUUCUGCUGCUGAAUCAACUGGGUGAUCUUUGGCGGAAAAACAAACUCGGGGUCGCGUCUCAGAGGCAUCUGAAGGGUUUAGAAAAGACGAGAAAUUAAGAAAAGAGUGGGGUCUAGGGAGAAAACACUACCCGAAUGCUCAUGAGACAAUUGCACACAAAAUCACUUCAUUCAUUCAAACAAAGGGCAUACAACGGUCUAACUAUCGCAAAAGUGCGUGUACUAUAAUGUUUACAUGGAGGGAAUACUAAUGUAUGGUGGUCAUCUAUUAAUUUGAACCAGUGGAAGACUCCAUGAUGUCUGCUCCAGCUUCGUCUUCAAAGUCGGGCUCGCUUGGAUCCGAAUCGGUGUCAUCGAUGAUGAUGUAGUUGCUCGGACAGUCGACGUACUUGUCUUCAUUCUUGAGCUCCAAUUUCUUCUUGAGUUCUUCAAUCUCAUACUUAAGAUCGUUAUUGUGCCUUGCGACAGCUAUGAUCUCGUCCAUGUAGUCCUUGCGUAGAGUCUUCAUCUCUCCUUCAAGUUCGAUGAUCCUUCCCUUUGCAUUCUUCAACUCUAUCAUAUCAUUGCACAUCUGGUUCUCCUGGCGUCGAAUGUGCUGGUUUAACUCUUGGAUGAAAGCUGCAAUGGAUCUAUCCUUCUUGGUGCUGACUAUCUCCCAUUGUUCAUUCCGGCGUCCACAAAUCUGGUAGAUAGUGUCCUUGAGGUCUUCUUGAUAAACUUCUCCAAUGCGUCCCAUGGUGAUAUGAGCUGCCAUGCUCUUUCCCAGACUCCAAGUUGGUGCACUGAAAACACUAUCUAUGGGCUUGGUGAUAGGGGCGAAUGUCCUUCCUGGAACAUGGGCUUGAAUCUUCCAGCACUCCUCUUCGGGCAGAGUGGCGUUAAAAGUCCCGGUGAAGCUUGGUAGUCCAAUGUUCAGGUACUUGGUGACUUCCUUCAAGUGAAAUCCAAAAGGUGUGCCUUCAUCCGGUUGAGCGUACUUAAUCUUCGCGUCCUUCAUCCUAAAGGAGUAGAAAAGAUGAGGAGUUAGAAAAUGAGAAGAGAAUGGUGAUCUAUGGCUUUAACUUAGUGGUCGUGUCCUACAGUCAGCGUGUGCUCUGAUACCAUCUCUGUAGCGACCCGACCCGAAUGGAUCAAGUCUCUGUGCUCCGAUGUCAUCCCUGGAUCAGUAAUGCUGACACCACACAGUACUUCGAAGGAUUUAUAGCAGAGUAGCAAACACACACUUAUUACAUCGUUUGUCCAGAAGAGGACUUAUUACAGUAAUCAUGGCUUAAGGCCAUCUAAUAACGAUAACAGCGGAAGACUUGGAAGAUAAGUGAGUCCAUCAACUCCAACGGCAUCACUGAGUAUAGAACCACGACCUAAAAGCACCUUAUUCGUCGUCUGAAAAGUCUGCAACAUGAAAAGUUGCAGCCCGAAAACGGGUCAGCACAUGGAAUAUGCUGGCAAUGUAACACAUAGAGAGAGGUAAUGAGCAUUGGCUAUACUACAUGCAUAUUUGGCUGGUAAAAAGCUCUAUGGUUACAGUUUUUGCAUAAAGCCAGUUUUUCCCUACUACAAAGGAAUAAAUUUAUUUAACUAUCAUGGUGGUUGUUAAACAUUGAGAAUGGUUGACGACAUUCUCAAUCCCAAUUAAAAGUACUCAUUAGAAACCCAACAAUAUUAAUUAGAAGUAACAUGUUGAGAUCCACAUGAUAUUCAAGUACUAGAUACUCAAGAUGUCCAUAACCGGGGACACGGCUAAUCAUGAUUAGUUUGUACACUCUGCAGAGGUUUGCGCACUUUUCCCCACAAGACUCGAUCGCCUCCGUUUGGUUUCUCGCACUACAUGGUGUUUAAGAAACGGAUGACCGAGACAUAGUCUUUCAGAAGCGCUAGCACCUUACGAUGGGUGGACCGGUACACCUACAUCCCCUACAUCUGCUAGUCCACCACUAUAAGAGUUUGCACGACUUAGUCAACUAUGCCAGAGCCCAUAAUGGCUUGUGGCUCCACACGUAAGUUACUAGUAUGAAUUAUCUUAUGAUCCCUUUGAGCCUGGGUGGCGGUCCAUAGGAAAAUCACACGGUACCCCGGGAUUUCCAAGAAAAAAACAGGCAAGUCCUGGUAACUCCAGGUGCCUCAAUCCACCUAGAUGUGUAUUUAAGUUGCCACCUUAGAUAAACCUUUAAUUAACAAACUCACAUCUGUCAUGGAUAUUCACUCACCCAAUCCACGUCUACUAGCAUAGCAUGGCAUAAUAAGCAAACGUAGAAGUAACUCCCAAAGGUUUCAUAAGUAAAACAGGUAUUAGGUACUACCUCAUCUACUUCCCAUCCCACAAUUUAAUUAGAUCCUAAUCAUGCAAUGUUUGAGGAUUGAUCUAAUGCAUAAAAACUGGGUUGUAGAAAAGGUAUGAUCAAAGUGUUACUUGCCUUGCUGACGAUCCGCGAAACCUAAAGACUCGAAGUAACAAGCGGCGCACUCCAGGUGAUCUAUCGCAGACAAACAACAAGCAUACAAUAAGUACUCAUCUAAUGCACAGGUAAAUCUCGAAUAAAAGAUCUAACCAGAAAGUUCAACUUAAGAACCCUGGUGGCAAAAGAAUCAAAUCAAAAGCAACGAAAGUCAAACGGCGAGGGAAAACAACUCGGUUCUAGCAAGUUGAAUCUAGGUCAAAUUUUACAGUAGCAAAACUUUGUUUAAGUUGAUUAGUCGGAACGGCGGUUUCGAGAUGAAACUCCAGGCGUUUGAAUCACCUGAUUCCGAUAAACGAGCGAGAAGAUAGACUAGAAAGAAAAUCGGAUAUGAAAUCGCUAUCAGAAAAAUAGCGGAAUAAAUCCGAUGAGAAAGAAAACGACGAACGGUUGAACGAAUGGACGUUCAUUAACCGAGGCAAACCGGUGAUCACGUUCGUUAGGACGAACGGUCCGGCGAUCGCUUGCUAAACAAAACCGGAAAGAAAAACUGGCGAGAAAAACCGAUCUAGGGUUUCGGAAAGAAAACCAAAACGUAAAACCGAUCUAGAAAACCGGAACGGAAACCGGAACGAUUUACAAAAAACCGAACCGAGGAAAAGAAAAGGUGACGCCGCGCGGGGCUAGUACCUCGAAGAGGCGAGGGGCUCCGGCGGCGGCGGCGUUGGGUGGCGGCGGCGGCACUAGGCGGCGGCGGUGGCAAGCGGCGGCGGCGGUGUAGGGCGGCGGCGGUGGUGAGGGGCGGCGGUGGUGUAGGGCGGCGGCGGUGGUGAGGGGUGGCGGUGGUGGUGCUGCGCUGCUGCUGCUGCGGAGGAGAGGAGAGGAGAGGUGUUGGUUUGAUGUGUUGGAGGGGGUGCUUGGGUAUUUAUAUUGGGGAGGGGAGGGUUUUGCUUGGAGUAGGGGACAAGAAUUAGACUAGGAUUAGGAAUCCUAGGAACAAAAAACGGAAAAACGAAACGGGUCCAAAUCCUACUAGGAUUUGUAAAAGAAAAGGAAACCGGGGCGCUGGCUCCCUGGCGCGGCGGCGCUAGCGAUGGCCUUGGCCUCCUGGCCGGCGGCUGGCUUGGCGGCUUGGGCCUUUGGCCCAAGGCGCUACAGUUUUUUUUUAAAUCGGUUUCGCGCGCAGAAAAAAACAGAAAAAAAUCUAAACGAACUCCAAAAUUAAUAAAGUAAACUUCCCACGACUCCUAAAAAUGAGUCGAACAAAAUGAACUUUACUCGGGGCCUAAAAUGCAAUUUUUUGAAAACACGCAUUUUUCCCUAUGGCAAUAAACUCCGAGAAAAAUCCAAAAUUUGAUUUAUUUAUUAAAUCUUCAUUUUUCCUAAAUUUUGGGAAAGUCAUAUUAUUCCCUCUCUUAUUUUUGAUAUUGGAAAAAUAUUUGAAGAUAGAAUAAAUAAAUCCAAUGAUCCUCUUUUCAUAGUUUUGAGAAAACUCAAAUACGAAAAUUUCGAAAUCUCCAACUCUCUCCGAGGGUCCUUGAGUUGCGUGAAAUUUCUAGGAUCAACAAAUGCAAGAAAAUAUGAUAUGCAUGAUGAUCUAGUGUAUAACAUUCCAAAUUGAAAAUUUGGGAUGUUACACGAUGACCCACAACCCAAGAAUAAACGAUAUGGUAAAAGAGACUUUGUCGCUAGGAAACACGGUAAGGAAAGAGAACCGUGGGUUCAAAAACCUAUGCCCUGUCCACCUAAAUCAACUUAGAAGAAAGAUGAUGAAGAAUUAGAAUGCUUUGCUGAAAUGAUUAGGUCAGUCUUUUUACGUACCCGCUUGACUGAUAUUUUAAAGAUGGCCCCUUACGCAAAGUACAUGUAAGACAUUAUCACCAAUAAGAGAAAAAUACCGAAAGCUGAAAUCUCCACCAUACAAAAUUAUUCUUCUAAGGAUGGAGUACCUAAAAAACUUGGAGAUCCAGGAAUACCAACUAUACCAUGCUCCAUCAAAAGAAAUUAUGUGAAAACUGCUUUGUGUGAUUUAGGAGCCGGUGUUAGUGUUAUGCCUUCCUCUUUAUACAAAAGACUUGAUUUGAAUAUACUCACACCUACUAAAAUAUCUUUGCAAAUGGCUAAUAAAUCAACUGCCAUACCUAUCAGUAUUUGUGAGGAUGUGCCCGUUAUUGUUGCAAAUGUUACUAUUUUGACUGACUUGUUAUACUUGAGAUACCCGAGGACGACAACAUGUCGAUUAUCCUUGGUAGACCCUUUUUGAAUACUUCAGGGGCUGUUAUUGAUUGCAAUAAAAGCAAGGUCACUUUUCAUAUCAAUGGUAAUGAGCAUACGGUGCACAUUCCGAAGAAACAAUUCCAAGUGAAUGGUAUAAAUGUUAUUUAAAAAUCUCCGACACUCACUAUUGGAAGUUUUCAAAUACCUCUACCUACUGCCAAAAAGAAAUAUGAUAUACUUAUUGUUGGGGACAUGCAUAUCCCCGUUGAGGUAACUGGGUGUUUUACAAAAGUUCUUCGGUUUCAUGCUAAUCGAAGGUGGUUGUUAAUAAGACUUGAUCAACCUUAUUAAUGGAUCACUUUUGGGAGGUAUCAAGUUGAUGAAUCUAGUAGGCACAACCUUCUGUCCUCACCUUUUAUUUUCUGUUUUCCUUAGUUAAACAAAAUACAAUGCCAUGUUUUUCCUGUUUUCUCGAUUUUCCGUGCAAAUAAAAAAUGACCCAAAAAUAAAAGUUCUCAGAAUGUCCUGAAAAAUUUAUAUGAUUUUUUCCUGGAUAUUUAAGAAUUUUUGGUGCAAAUAACAUCAGAGGGGGGUGCACCAGGUGGCCACAACCCACCUCGCCACGCCAGCACCCCCAAGCGCCCUGGUGGGUUGUGGUCCCCAUGUGCCCCCCUCACUUAUCUCUUUAGCCCAUGUCAUCACCUACCUCCAGAAAAAAAUCACCAUUGCUCCCUUUCUCGUGUUCUUGCUCUCAAACCCGCGGAUUUCAAUCUCUUUGCUCGAAGCUCCAUUUCCAAAACUGUAUUGGUGGAUUGCUACUUGGUAUGUGCCUCCUCCAUUGGUCCAAUUAGUUUUUUCUUUAGUAGUUUAUAUUUGGAAUAAUUAGCUACUCUUGGUGAUGCUGUAGAUGAGCUUGCAUGUUGAAUUCUUAGAGUUCUAAGUAGUUUGAAUGCUUAAUAUAGCCUCUAUGCAUGCCUAUGAGUGGUUACUAUCAAUCUUGUGAAGUUUUGUUGAGAAAAAAUUUGUGGACUAAAAAUUUCAGAAUCUUGUUCAUAGGAAUAAGAUGAGUUUCUUUAGGAAAUUUUCUUCCAAGAAGAACUCCAAGGGAGUUGUGGGUGAAUCACCGGAUAGUGACCUCCAAACUUAGAGAAUGGCAGAAGUGCGGCCAUGUGAAUGGCCACAGAACCCCUUCAUGGAUGGAGUCAGAAUCCAUUAAGAGUUCGCACAAUUUGCUGCCAAUGUUGGCCUCACCGACUUCAUCGCAACUGAGUGUGAACAAUAUAAUCUCCUUACAAAUUCCUUUGUGCAAAGUUUUCAUUUCCUAAGUAGGAAUAACCCCCUUGAGGUGCGGUUUAAUAUAUAUGCUGAAAUCCAUCAUAUACCACUUACUGAAUUUUGUGAUAUAUGCUUGCUCCCUUCUGAUGGGGAAAUAAGAGAACCUAGGCCUGCAGAGUUUGAGGGCUUUUAUCGCACUCUGUCAGUGGGAGAUGAGAGAGGGGUGUCGAGUGUCACCGCCACUAGCUUGUAGUUUCCUUCAGUGCAUUAUUUUACUCUAUUCAUUGCGAAGUGUCUACUUGCUAGGGAGAAGGUUGGUGCACUUAGUGCCCCCUAUUUUGUUGUCUUACGCCGCGCACUCUAUGGCGAUAACACUUGUAUCUUGGGAGCUAUUGUGGCACGUCGCCUUCACCUUAACAGGUCCAACGGUAAAAUUCUUGGUGGUAUUUAUGUGACUCGUUUAGCGAGCCAUUUUAACAUUCAGAUUCGCCAGCAUGAUUACCGUUUAACCAAGGUUUAUUUAGAUCGCCAGGCUAUGGCAGCUCAUCAAUUUAUUGAUGGCGAGACCACUGCUAUUCCAAUUCCUUACAACCUAGUUUUUAGUGAGGAUACCCAUGAUAUUAUCUCGUUGCCUACUCCUACUUUUCUUGAUUCUAUUGCCAGUGGCGGAUACAGGAUCAUGCGAGAAGACAUCGUCGCCUACCGGAACAACUAGGCAGCGGCUAAGGAGGAUCCUUAGGAGUGGGAUGCUCAGGUACCCGCUCCACAACACUUCAACAUAGGACCUGAUGGCUACUAUGAGUGGUGAUUAUCAAGUUAGGCCAAAAGCCUAAGCUUGGGAGAGUACAUAUUUCCACUUACAUUACAUUCAUGUUCACACAUUUCAUUUCAGUUGUCGGUGUCCACACUUUUUCAUUGUAUUAUCCAUGCUAGAUUUAUUUUCUCGCCUUCUUCUUGUGUGUUUGAAAAACUUUGAGGAACUCCAAAAAUGUUUCCUGCUUCUUUUCGGUUUUUCUUUCUAGUUUAAAUUAGUUGUAGUAUUAAAAGAAAACCCAAAAAUAUUUCUCGAUUCUUCUUCUUGUUUGUUGGGAGCUUUCAUGUGUAAAUAUUUUUUUCUCAUUUUUUGGUUUUCCUGUUUUAAUUUGCUUUCUUCUAGAAGAACUAAAAGCUCCAAAAAUAUUUUAGUGUGUUUCUCUGGAUUUAUUUUUUCCAUUUGUUGAGUCAUACCAAGGAGAAGACCAUGAUGAAAUUGUUGAGCGCCACUCAUAUGCAUUACUGUUGUUCUAACAAAGAGCCCAAAAUUUGUCUUCUCCUUUGAAUAAAAUGUUUGUAGAUUCCAGCUUAGAUCACGACACUCUUGCACUAUUAUUAUUUUCAAAUCAUUCGAUCGUGCAAGUGAAAGACAAUAAUGACAAUAUUCGGUGAACUGGUUGUGGGAGAGAGAAACUGGUAUGAACUCAACUUGUUCUAUUUUUGUACAUAUGUUUAACCUAGUAUCCAUGAUUCAGCAUAUUAUGAUCGAACAUGUUUGCAAUGAAAAUUAGAGAUUAUAGUUUCUCAUGCCAUGCUUAAGUAGCUAGGAGUGGAUGAUGAUUUAUCUUGGAUGUCAACAUUGCGUUAAAAUGAUUGUGAUGUAGUAUGAUGAUAUGGUAUCCUCCUCCGAAUGUUUGAGUGGCCUGACUUGGCACAUGUUCAUGCAUGUAGUUGAAUCAGAACAACAUAGCCUCUAUGAUAUUUAUGUUCAUGGUGUUCUAAUGAGGACAUCAAUACCAUUGUUACACCCAUAGCCCCUGCUACUAUACAUACUGGACUAAUUACUAGAGCUCGCGCACACCAAUUAAAUUACUAGGUACUUUCGUUUCUUGGUAAUGAUUCUAAUGUUCAUGACAAUAUGAUGCUACCUAAAUUGGAUACAUUGUUUUGCUUAAAAUGAAGGGCCUAGCUUGGAGAAGGAUGAACAUUGGAGCAAGAACAAGCACGAAGAUGAUGGCAUGCACAAGGGAAACAAGAACGGAGUUUCAAGUGAUGAUUUCAGGACUUUGAAGCCACUAUAAUGGGUGCAUGAAGGCUUGGACGAAAUAUACAAGAUGCCACUUCACAAAUUUCGUCUAGAGGCUAUUAUAGGUGUUGCAUCACCUUAUUAUUGGGCCAGGCCCAUGUAAUUUUUAAAUACAUAAGUAUAGGUUGUUUUUAGAGUCUGUAUGUGUGGGGAAACAAAGUUAGGGUUGGUUCCGGACCCCUCCUACAAGGGGUCAUGAAAUUCCCCCUACUGCUCCAUAUAUACAGCCCUUAGGGCGUCGUUCAGACUUUGGAUUUUGUUUAGAUUAAAAGUUCGCCAUAGCUGCAACUUCGCGUACUUCAUUUGUGUUCAAUGACCAGACCUAGACGUCACAGAUCCCCACCUUGAUCAAUAAAGCUUUCAUCUUAUAUUUGAAAUAUCCAGAUUGCAAUCUUAGUUUCUUGCUUGUUCUUCGUUUGCUUGCAGGAAAUAAACCAUCGUGGCCAGGUUGAUCGUGCUCCGGCGUGGUUGAUAACCCCUCGGAAGUUGGUUUAGUGAUUGCUAAGGCGCGACACCUCGCACGUUCAUAGUCGGAUCGUCAAGGUAGACUCCCACAGAAAAUGAUAGCUAUCUCAUUGAAACAUCGGGACACCCUCGCCUCUAUCAAGUGGUAUCAGAUUUCUAGGUUGCUCGGUGAGAUUUUACAGUUUUUUGUAGUUUAGAUCGAAUCUGUUCUUCAUACCUACAGUCCAUGAAAAAGCAAAAAAUUAAUAAUUAGGGUUAGUUCAUCAUAUCCGAACCAAUCUGAGCCUUCGCAUAAUCUUUUUAGGGUUUUGUAUUGUUGAAUUUGUGUUUGCAUCGUCGUGUCUAGUUGCUGGUCUUAGUGUCUAGUCCUUUAGAGUUUCGAGUUCUGUUCACAAGUUGUCACGGCGCCGCCGCACCAUCGUCAUCACCGCUGCCAUAUACCACCAUCGGCAUCAUCGCUGCCAUAUACCAGCAUCGUCGUCACCGCUGCCAUAUACCACCAUCGUCAUCACCACUGCCAUAUACCACCAUCGUCAUCACCGUUGCCAUAUACCACAUAUUCACUACCAUCACGAUAAUCUGAGUCCACCUCCCCGUCGUAGAUCAGCCACUAGUCUGUGUUCUACCGCCCUACAUAUAUUCGCCACCAGUCCAAGUUUCCACUAGAUUCAUCUCCGCCACCAGUCCUAGUCCGAGUCCAGUAUUUGUUCCUUUGUUUUCGAUUUCCAGAUCACGUCAUACUCUGAGUCGUGACCAAGUCGGACUACCCAACUUUAGUGCUAGCCGCAGUAGAAAAAUAGUUCCAGUUUCAAAAAGAACUAAGUCUGGAAAAUUCUGGCUAGGCAAUUUUUAGACCAUUUGUAGACUUCUUCAAAAAAAAUGUUGCGGAGCAAAAAAAGUGAAAAAAAUAAAAUAAGAGAUUCAGAGUGUGCUCCUCCCUUGUUUAUGUGCAGUGUGUGAUUUUGUUAGUGUUCUAGGCUCGCGUCUCUAGCACGGUCUAGCCUAGGACCAACACAGUACCGUUGUUGAGCGUGUAUUCAACUUUGCAUCUCUGAAUUGAUUAUUGCUGACCCUUUUUGCUACCAUAUUAUAAGCCUUCCCAGCUCCACAUACAUCUACGUCGUGCGUUUGACUCUCCCUGGUAAUCGCUCUAUCCAAGCUUUUAGAGUUUUUUACUGCAACGGUUACCGAUCACCACCUGCUUCUAGGUAAGAACUAGUAAGAAUUUGAGAUUUGCUUGAUGGAUUUGUGACACACUACCACUUUCUAGUAGUUUGUAGGAUCAUAUUCUUGUGUGUUUCUAUUGCUGCUAACCAUGGCAGGACCACAAGCCGAAAUUGGCUGGGAGAACACGAUGAAGAAGGAGCUUCAUGAUAAAUUUCAGCAAAUGUUGAGUCAACAGGUGGAAGAUGUCAUGGCAAGCUUUGGAAAGGCACUAGAGAUGAUUGAUGACGUUGAGAAGACAAUUGACACCAAGUUGGAUGCCAUGUUCGAUGAAGUACUCACGCGUCUUCCACAACCACCAUCAGCAUCUGCUACACCAUUACAACAACAACCACCUCCACGUCGCGAAACAGCCCUCCGCCGAGCGGGUCGUGUUCCUCUUGAGCCAGGACAAAAUUCUGGUGCCGCUGAUACUGUUGUUGAUGCUUCUAUAGCUCCUGCUGCUACUGCAGAGGUGGAGGACUAUUAUGAGGGUAAGGUUAACCAGUAGCACUAGCACCACCACCAGCACCAGAACUACAUGCAACCACCAGCACCACCACCACCAAGUCGACCUCAUGCAUAUAAUCGCAACGGUAGGGCUCCAGCACCACCUCAGGUAUGAGAUUAUGACCAUAUUCCUAAACGAAAAUUGAAUAUCCCACUGUUUAAGGGUAGAUACAUUCCUGAUGUAUAUCUUACUUGGGAGUUAGAAACUAAACAAUGUUUCACAUGCGUACAGUAUCCUGAGGAUAGAUGUGUUGCUGCUGCUAUUUGUGAAUUCACUAAUUUUGCUUCCGUUUGGAGGUCUGAACAUUGUAUAUUAUAUCAUGAUAAUAUUCCUACUACUUGGGUUUCUUUGAAAAUUGCUAUGCGUACUCGUUGGGCUCCACCAUAUUAUCAAUGUGAAUUACUUCAAAAACUGCAGUGUUUAAGACAAGGAAAAAAAUUAUGUAGAGGAGUAUUAUCAGGAGUUACAAAAUUUAUAGCAGACCUUUGGAGGAACAUUUGGAACAUUUAUGUGAUGUUUUUAUUGCUCUAUGUGAUGCACGUUUGUUUGGUAACCUUGGGAAGUGCACCUUUUGGACCGACCGAGUAUCUUUUCUUGGCUAUGUUGUUACUCCAUAGGGAAUUGAAGUUGAUAAAGCCAAGAUUGGAGCUAUUGAGAGUUGGCCGCAGCCCAAAAUGGUCACACAAGUGAGGAGUUUUCUUGGCCUCGCUGGAUUCUAUAUGCGUUUUGUAAGAGAUUUCAGCACCAUUUCUGCACCUCUCAAUGAGCUUACAAAGAAGGAUGUGCCUUUUGUUUGGGAUACCGCACAGGAAGAAGCCUUCACGGUAUUGAAAGAUAAGUUGACACAUGCUCCUUUACUCCAACUUCCUGAUUUUAAUAAGACUUUUGAGCUUGAAUGUGAUGCUAGUGAAAUUGGAUUUGGAGGUGUAUUAUUACAAGAUGGCAAACCUGUUGCAUACUUUUUUGAAAAAUUGAGUGGGCCAAGUCUGAACUAUUCUACUUAUGAUAAAGAAUUAUAUGCUCUUGUUCAGACUUAGAAACAUGGCAACAUUAUUUAUGGCCUAAGGAAUUUGUUAUACAUUUUGAUCAUGAAUCUUUGGAACAUAUUAAAAGUCAAGCCAGACUGAAUCCUAGACAUGCUAAAUGGGUUGAAUUCAUAGAGACUUUUCCUUAUGUCAUUAAACACAAGAAGGGUAAAGAAAAUGUUAUUGUUGAUGCAUUGUCUCGUCGUUAUACUAUGCUUUCACAACUUGACUUCAAAAUAUUUGGUUUGGAGACCAUCAAAGAUCAAUAUGUGCAUGAUGCUAAAUUUAAAGAUGUAUUGCAUAACUGUAAAGAAGGGAGAACAUGGAACAAGUUCGUCGUUAACGAUGGAUUUGUGUUCGUGCUAACAAGCUAUGCAUUCCGGCUAGCUCUGUUCGUCUUCUGUUGUUGAAGGAGGCGCAUGGAGGAGGAUUAAUGGGACACUUUGGCGUUAAGAAGACAGAGGAUAUACUUGCUACACAUUUCUUUUGGCCAAAGAUGAGACGGGAUGUUGAGCGUUUUGUUGCUCGCUGCACUAUAUGUCAAAAAGCUAAGUCACGACUCAAUCCUCAAGGUUUAUAUAUGCCUUUGCCUGUACCUAGUGUUCCUUGGGAGGAUAUAUCUAUGGACUUUGUUUUAGGUUUACCUCGAACAAAGAAGGGGAGGGAUAGCAUAUUUGUUGUCGUGGAUAGGUUCUCGGAAAUGACACACUUUAUACCAUGUCAUAAAAGCGAUGAUGUUGUUAAUGUUGCUGAGUUGUUCUUUCGUGAAAUUAUUUGCUUGCAUGGUGUGCCAAAUACUAUUGUUUCAGAUCGUGAUACUAAAUUUCUUAGCCACUUUUGGAGAUGUUUAUGGGCUAAGUUGGGGACUAAGCUGCUUUUUAGUACUACCUGUCACCCCAAACUGAUGGACAAACUGAAGUAAUUGUAAGGGCAUAUUUAUCCCUCAGGUGUUUUGGUGAUUGAUGGCAAUGCAUUUUCGGACUAAUCGUGUGCCUUGAGUUUCUCAGGUUAUUCAUCUCUAGGCACGAGACGAUUCUGUGCCCCUCGGAGACUUUUGAAGUCGGCGUUGUUCUACGUUUCUCGUUGGUGGAUUUGAGUCGUAGGAGAGCCAUACUAUUAAGAGGGGGUCCGCGUCGGAAAGGUUUGGGUGGAAUCAACAUGUACACUUGUCCCUCCUUUCCCUGCAUUUUUGAGCUUCCCUUUGUUAUCUUGGUUGUGCGGAAAUCUUACGACUACUGAUGUACUUGCGGUAGUACCGCAAGUACACGCGGUAGUACCGCUGUGGGUCACGGUAGUACCGCUCAUCUCGAGUGGUAGUAUCGCGGCUCCCAGGCCUUGUGCCGCUCCGGUGCGGUAGUAGGGACGGAUGUAAUUUUUUACAUCCGUGCCCUCCACGGAAGUACCGCUCGUCCAACGCGGUAGUACCGCGGGGGCCCACGGUAGUACCGCUCCCUAGGAGUCGUAGUACCAUGGCCCUCCUACCUAGUACCGCAGUGUCGCGGUAGUAGGCGCGGAUGUAAAUUUUUACAUCCGCGCCCGCACGGUAGUACCACGCCUCGCGAGCGGUAGUACCGCGUCGGAUUUUUGUACCACCUCUGUUUCAGCGGAAGUAGGCACGAAUGUAAUUUAUUUCAUCCGCGCCCUUCCCAGGUCGUGACUCUCCUGCCUAGCGGUAGUACCGCAAGUGGGUGCGGUAGUACCACGCAAGCGGUAGUACUGCCCCCUUGUCAGGCUAGUUCCGGCCUGUGCUGCUGUCGCGGUAGUACUGUGGUCAGCCACGGUAGUGCCGCACAGCUUCGCGGUAGUACCGCUCCCCUGGAGCGGUAGUACCGUGUGUCGCGGGCUGAACAUGUGGAUAACAGUUGGAUUCUUUCCACGACUAUAUAAGGGGUGUCUUCUACCUCUAGUUGACUACCUCUUCCAUCUCUAAGCUCCAUUGUUGCUCCAAGCUCCAUUUCCACUCGAUCUCUCUCCCUAGCCAAUCAAACUUGUUGAUUUGCUCGGGAUUGGGUGACAAGUGCCCGAUCUACACUUCCACCAUAGGAUAUUUGAUUCCCCCCACUUAUCCCUAGCGGAACUUGUUACUCUUGGGUGUUGAGCACCCUAGACGGUUGAGGUCACCUCGAAGCCAUACUCCAUUGUGGUGAAGCUUUGCGGUAUUGUUGGGAGCCUCCAAGUGUUGUGGAGAUUGCCCCAAUCUUGUUUGUAAAGGUCCGGUUGCCGCCUUCAAGGGCUCCAAUAGUGGAAUCACGGCAUCUCGCAUUGUGUGAGGGCAUGAGGAGAUUACGGUGGCCCUAGUGGCUUCUUGGGGAGCAUUGUGCCUCCACACAGCUCUAACGGAGACGUACUUCCCCUGAAAAGGAAGGAACUUCGGUAACACAUCCUCGUCUCCACCGGCUCCACUCUUGGUUAUCUUAUCCCUUUACUUUUGCAAGCUUAAUUGUGCUAUAUCCAUUGCUUGCUUGUGUGCUUAUUGUCUUUGCAUCAUAUAGGUUGUCCACGUAGUUGCACAUCUAGACAACCUAUUUCAUUGCAAGGUUUAAAUUGUUAAAGAAAAUUCUAAAAAUUGUUAGUUGCCUAUUCACCCCCCCCCCCUCUAGUCAACCAUAUUGAUCCUUUCAAUUGGUAUCAGAGCCUCGUCUCUUUAUUAAGGACUUUGUCGUCCGAAGAGUAUGGUUGACGUCAACGACGGUGCGGAGGAACACUCCCGUGUGAAUCCCAUCUCGUCUUCGGCCGAAGGGGGAACCUCGGUCUCACGUGAGGAAUUCGAUGUGGCUUUAGACACAUUGAAAACCUCCAUGAUGGCCGAGGUUAAAAGCAUGUUUACUGAAUUUUUAAAGGGACUUAAACUAUCUACCUCACCAAUGAAAGUGGGUGAUCCCACUAACAAGGUGAGGGAUGCUAACUCCGAUAAGGGGGAAGCUAACAAUGAAAAGAGUCCAUCUACUAGUAGUAGAAAUGGCACCGGCAUCUUUGCCCAUGUGGAACCCCCGGUGUAUAGAGGACCGAUCCCCUCUACUCAUUUGAAUCAUGCCGGUCCUCCUCCUAAAUAUGUGAAAAAUGAAGAUUAUGAUUCUUGGGUUUAUCGCUUCAAGCGUCAUUUAAAACAUGUGAAUACUAACCUUUGGAGAAUUAUUGAAGAAGGUUUCUAUCCUCAUGAUCCAAGCAACUUCACCCCUCGAGAAGAAGUGGACAAUCAAUUCAAUGAGAGUGCUCUCUUCAUCAUCCAAGAUGCUAUCCUUCCCGAAGAUCUCCCUCAUCUUCGACCUCAUGUCAUGGCUAAAGAAGCAUGGAAGUGCAUCGAGCGUAUGUAUAGAGGAAGUUCUAGCAUUCAACGCUCCAACUAUGAAGUGGUGCAAGAUGAAGCUGAUGAGUUUGCAAUGAAAGAGGAUGAAGAACCUCGUGAGCUCUUUCGAAGAGUGACCAAACUUGCGGUCGCACUCCGAGAUCAUGGGAGUAAGGACACGGAUGACAACUGGAUCAAGCGCAAGUUCCUCAAGGCCAUGAUGCCCUACAACAAGGCCAUGUCCUCCGUCAUCCGCCAAAGAUCGGACUUCCACUCCAUGACCUCUGGUGAAGUGUUGGAUGAGUUUGUUGCAAUGAACAUCUUGGAUAAGACCACCGACAAUGCGGUGCUCCGUUCCCAAAGGGCAAAGAAGCCCAAUCUUGCCUUGAAGGCCAAGGUUAGUGUGGAAGAAGAAGAAGAAGAGGAAGAUGAGGAGAGCAACCCCGAGGACACAAAGUAUGAUUAUCAUGAGCACAUGGCUCUUGCCUCAAGACAGUUUUGGAGUAAGAAGACUACAAGACCCAACUUCAACAAGAACAACUCAAGUGGCCUCAAGGGGAAGCAAAGAGUUAGAACUUGUUUCAACUGUGGCAAUGUCAGUCAUUUCGUUGCGGAUUGUCCAUACGAGAAGCGGGAAGACAAUGGUGGCAAGUUCAUUCGAAAAGACAAAGCCAAGUCCUUCCCCAACAAGAACAACUUCACCAAGAAGACUCCUUCUCGCGGGUUGGUGGUUCAAGAAGAAUACCGUGAGGAUGACGAUGAUGAUGAAGAUGGUGAAACAAUGGCCAUGGCAUCCGUUGCCAUUGUCUCAACUCCUCGGGUGUCUCUCUUCGAUGCACCUAACGAGAACAUCACCGCUAAGUGCCUCAUGGCUAAGGCCACCAACAAGGUGUUUGCUUCCGGUGGGGGAUCAUGGUUGCUCGAUAGUGGAGCAAAAAAUCAUAUGACCAGGAGCAAGGACUUGGUGGUGGACGUGCACAAUAUCCCAUCUAUGCCCACCAAUGUCGAAUGGGGUGAUGCCUCACAUUCUAAGGUAUUGGGUCUUGGCAAGGUUGUCAUUUCUCAUGAUCUAACGAUCGAGAAAGUCAGGCUUGUUGAGUCCCUUGCGUUCAAUUUACUUUCCGUUCGUCAACUCGCACUCAUGGGUUUUGCCACCUUCUUUGAUAUUGAUACCGUGGCCCUCUUGUGGAGCAAGACUCUUAAAGUAGCCUUUGUUGGGCAUGUCGAGAACGGUCUCUAUGUGGUUAACUUCUCGGAGCAACCCACUAAGACCGCGACAUGCCUAAUGGCUAAAGUUGAUGUGGGAUGGCUUUGGCAUCACCGUUUAGCCCACGUCAAUAUGAGAUCUUUGCAAAGUCUUCUCAAGGGGGACCAUGUCCAUGGACUAACGAAUGUUAGUUUUGCCAAACAUCGUGUUUGCAGUGCUUGUAUCGAAGGAAAGCUUCAUGAGACGGCUCACCCUCCCACGACUAUCAUCUACUCGAAGAGACCCUUGGUGCUCCUCCACAUGGACCUCUUUGGGCCCCCAUCCUUUGAUAGUCUUGGGGGUAGAAAGUAUUGUUUGGUGAUAGUGGAUGAUUAUUCAAGAUACACUUGGGUAUACUUCUUCAAGAGGAAGAGUGAGACUCAACAAACCGUCAUCGACUUUGCAAAUGAAGCUCAACGUCAACACAAUGCAAAGAUCUUGACAAUAAGAAGUGACAACGGCACCGAGUUCAAGAACUACACCUUGGAUGAGUUUCUUAGUGAUGAAGGGAUCAAGCAUCAAUAUUCUGCACCAUAUACCCCUCAACAAAAUGGUGUUGCGGAGAGGAAGAACCGGACAUUGAUGGAUGCGGCAAGGACCAUGAUGGCGGAGUUCAAGUCUCCAUACAAUUUCUGGGCCGAAGCCAUCAACACAGCUUGUCAUGCAUCCAAUCGGCUCUAUCUCCGCAAAGGUUUGAACAAGACUCCGUAUGAGAUACUCACCGGGAACAAGCCCAAUCUCAAGUACUUCCGGGUGUUCGGGUGUAAGUGUUUCAUUCUCAAGAAAGGUGUUCGUUUGUCUAAAUUCGAAGCUAGAGCUCAUGAAGGCAUAUUUGUUGGUUAUGCUACAAACUCUCAUGCUUACCGUGUUCUCAACAAGUCCAACGGACUCAUUGAGGAGACGUGUAACAUAGAGUUUGACGAAAAUAACGGCUCCCAAGUGGAGCAAAGUGGUACUUGUGAUGUAGGUGAUGAAAUUCCUCCCCAAGCCAUAAGAAGAAUGGGUAUUGGUCAUAUCCUACCCAUUGAGGAACCCCUUGUGGCCGAAGGAGAAGGACAAUGCUCCACUCAAGUGGAGCCAUCACCUCCCCAAGACCCACACGCUUCCGAAGAACAAAGUGAAGGCCCUCACCCUCUUGAACAAGACCAAGGGCAAGAUCAACCUCAAGAUGGUGGUGAACCUCUAAAUGAUGCCCAAGGUCAAGUUCUCCCCCUCGAGCAAGUUCAAGAUCAUGAGCAAGCUCAAGACGGCGCUCAAGAUGAUCAAGUUAACCUUCCUCCUUCCACACCCGAGGAGGAAUUAGAGCGUCGUGCCGUGAAGAUUUCUUCCAAACUCACCACACAAGGCCAUCUCAUGGAAAACGUGGUUGGAAGCCUAAGGAAGGGGGUAAGCACUUGUAGACAAUUAGCUAACUAUUGUGAACAUCAUGUGUUUGUCUUGUGUUGAACCCCAAAAGGUCUAUGAGGCGCUCGAAGACUCAGAUUGGCUCAAUGCCAUGCAUGAAGAACUCAACAACUUCGAAUACAAGAAGGUGUGGAGAUUGGUGCCAAGACCUUCAGGGAAUCACAACGUCAUUGGAACAAAGUGGAUCUUCAAGAACAAGCAAGAUGCUCAUGGGAACAUCAUCCGCAACAAGGCAAGAUUGGUAGCACAAGGCUACUCCCAAGUCGAGGGUAUCUACUAAGGUGAAACCUUUGCUCCCGUUGCUCGUCUUGAAUCCAUUCGUUUGUUGAUUACUUAUGCUUCCCAUCACAACUUUAAGUUGCAACAAAUGGAUGUGAAAAGUGCUUUUCUUAAUGGUCCCAUUAAUGAGUUGGUUUGUGUCAAGCAACCCCCUGGGUUCGAGGACCCCUACUUCCCGGAUCAUGUGUAUCAACUCGAUAAGGCACUCUAUGGCCUUAAACAAGCCCCACGUGCGUGGUAUGACCACCUUACCGAGUUGUUACAAGAUCGUGGAUUUGAAGUAGGACAAAUCGAUCCCACUCUUUUUACUAAGAAGGUCAAAGGGGAGUUGUUUGUAUGCCAACUAUAUGUUGAUGACAUUAUCUUUGGUUCUCCUAACAAAGCUUUCAAUGAGGAAUUUGCCGCUCUCAUGACCUCCAAGUUCAAGAUGUCUUCGAUGGGAGAGUUGAAGUUCUUCCUUGGCUUUGACAUCAAACAAAGAAGAGAAGGAACCUUCAUCAACCAAGCCAAAUACACUCAAGACAUGCUUAAAAGAUUCAAGCUAAGUGAUGUCAAGCCGGCUUCUACACCAAUGCCUACCAAGUGCCAACUUGACAUCGAUCCCAAUGGUAAAGCGGUGGAUCAAAAGGUAUAUCGCUCCAUGAUUGGCUCCUUGCUUUACCUUUGUGCAUCUAGACCGGAUAUCAUGUUGAGUGUGGGGAUGUGUGCAUGGUUUCAAGCCGCACCAAAGGAAAGUCACUAUGUGGCGGUCAAGAGAAUCUUUCGAUAUUUGGCUCAUACCCCAAACUUUGGCCUAUGGUACCCAAGAGGAGCAAACUUCAAGCUUGAAGGUUUCACGAAUUCCGAUUGGGCGGGGGACAAAUUGGAUAGGAAGUCCACUUCCGGAGGGUGCCAAUUUCUUGGUUGCUCUUUGGUAAGUUGGUCUUCCAAGAAGCAAAGUUGUGUGUCCCACUCGUCCACCGAAGCGGAGUAUGUGGCGGCCGGUAGUUGUUGUGCUCAACUCCUAUGGAUGAGGCAAACUUUAAAGGAGUACGGUGUCAUUUGUGACAAAGUGCCUCUUUGGUGUGAUAAUGAAAGUGCCAUCAAGAUUUCUCUCAACCCGGUACAACACUUCAAGACGAAGCACAUUGAGAUUCGGUAUCACUUCAUCCGGGAUCACAUUAGGCGAGGGGAGAUCGAGCUCAAGUAUGUCAACACUCAUGAUAACCUUGCAGAUAUUUUUACGAAGCCCUUGGAUGAAGCAAGAUUUCGCGAGUUAAGGCAUGAGCUAAAUAUCAUUGAUUUGAGCAAUGUGACUUGAACCCGUACACCCCCCACCACACUCAACGUGUUGUCUAGUUUAGGUGUAGGCAUGGACAUAGGGGGAGUGUAGUUUUCUCAAUGAACUCUCCCUCCCCCCAUUAUGCAUAAAUCGAUCACCUCUUUCACAUUAGCCAUUUUUAAUGGUACUUGUGCUUCAAAGACGAGUUUUGGUCAUGGGUCCAAGGAUAAUUCUUCGUGGUGCCAUACCAUCCAACUCAAACAUAGGUGGAUUCGGCCACCGCCCUCUCUCCUCGAGAUGCUUUGUCGCUUGGUGGUUUCUUGUUGUCUUUUUGCCUCUGGUUUGUGCGUGUUCUUGUGGUUUCUUGUGUGUGAAAAGUUUCCGUGCAAAGGCUUUUUCUUAUCGUGUUGAAACUUGCGGUGACUUGAGCUCACGGUACUACCGCGGCCAGCUACGGUACUACCGUAGCCAGCCACGGUACUACCGCUUGCGGGAGCACGGUACUACCGUGACCACGCGGCAGUAAUUUUUUACUGCCGCCUGGUUGAGCGGUACUACCGCCUCAGCGCGGUACUUCCGCCCGAGCGGUACUACCGCGAUGAUACGCGGUACUACCGCGCCGGUUCGAGCGCGUGGGGAUAAGGACGGGCAGGGGGAGUUUUAACUCCCCAUACCCAUUCGUUGUCCUCUCUCUCCACGUCGCCUCCUUCUCUCCCUCGCUCAAGAACGGAGCCGGCGUUCGUCGCCUCCUGCCCUCUCUCUCCACGUCGCCUCCUGCCCUCCUGUGAUUCCGACCGAUGGGAUCGUUCCCCACCACGUGCUCUUGCUAUGGACCAAGGUUUUUCCCCAACUCCCUCUCCGUGUUGAUUGUGUUUAGUGUUUCUAGGUUUUGAGGGAGGCUUGUGUGUUUUUGAGAUUCUUAGGCUUAGUCUCUGCAAGAGUAGGAUGAAGGAGCGUGGUAUUGCAUAGGAUUUAUACUUGUAUUGUUGUCUUGCGCUAGAUCGGAUCACGGUAGCACCGCCAUUGUUUCGCGGUUCUUUUCAGAUUCAAACCGCCGGUUGGAUCUGACGCGACGCGGUACUACCGCCCGUCUGGCGCGGUACUACCGCUUGCAUGGUACUACCGCCCUUCGGGAGCGGUACUACCGUGCUCUGUGCGGUACUAAAAUUUUACUUCCGCUCCAACCACGGUUCUACCAUGACCUCGCACGGUACUACCGCGUUUGGAGCAGUACUAAUAUUUUAGUACCGCAGGCAGUGGCAGUUCUACCGCGGCUCACAUCUAUCGCAUGCCAACUUUCUCGUAUGCCUUCUAUGUGUUUCUUGUGCUUUUUCGUGGCCUUUGCAUUGAUCCUUUCGCGUCUUUGGUGUUUUGCAUGUGUGUCUUAGGUGGUGGCUCUCACCGGUCCAACCCCAGUCGUGACACUGGUUCCAAACGUCUGCGCAACCCAGGUGAUGUACCAGAGGGCUCGUCUGCCUCCAAGCGCAAUGUCAAGCACUCAGCUAGCAAGCACAAGGAGCCCGCUAAGGGCAUGGAUGAGAUAGCCCAAGCUAAUUAUGUCCGUCUCAGGCAGCUUCACCCUUAUGUGCACCCGCGUUCCACUUUCAGAGGCUGUGAGCUAUUCUGGAACAAGCAAUAGACCAACAUAUAUCUGGAUGUCAUCAAGAACAAGCAGAAUACCUAUGUGGAGGUGAAGUGGAUUGAUAUGCAUCACAUGAGGAAGGACAAGUUCCGUGACUACUUUGGAGAGGCUCUGGACUUGGUGGAUCAGUUUGGCAUUGAGCAUGUGUUAACCUUCCACCUCGACUAUGACCCUGAGCUUAUCUGUCAGUUCUUUGCCUCAGUCUACUUUCACUCUGAUGAGGAACGGAGGAUGACCUGGAUGACCAAUGGCCGUAAGCUGUCUGCUACCUGGAAGGAGUUCAUGGAUCUCCUCCAGGUUCCUGAUGAUGGGCUCGACUCUCUAGUCGGUGUUCACCCCCAUGCCAAUGCUGAGUCUGCCAGCAAGGACAGGCUUGCCCCAUUCAUGGUUGAGAAGGCGCUCGCCAAUGGCAAGACAACUUUGGUGCUCAACCCUUUCCUGGAUAUCAUGUAUCGCAUCUUCCGCAACUCCUUGUUCCCUCGCAUCGGUGACAAAGACAAGGUUCAUGCCUAUAUGGUGGACAUGAUGCUCAUCUGCGAGGAGGCUCGUUCGUCUCAGUCUCAGCCACUUGAUGUCUCACACAUCAUGUGGUGUGAGCUCCGGUUUGCAGUGUUCAACCGCAAGGUGCCUAUCUAUGGGCCCUAUCUGUUUCUGCUGAUUUCGAAGACUUGGGAGAAGAUGUUCCCUGAUGAGGAGUUUCUUGCUCCAGACUAGGUUCGCCAUGAGCCCAUCUGCCUACAUAUCAAAUCCAACUGGGCCAACACCACUACUCGUGCUGAGGCGUCUGCUGCUAGGGCUGCUGUUGAUGAGGAGGAUGCUGGCGCCAAGGAUGUUGCUGAGGGCCGUGCUGCUAGGCCUUCCCAGAGUGCCGCUAUGCCAUCAUGGGCCAGGAAGCUGAAGGACAAGAUGAAGACUCUUUUCUGCAUGCAAGCCAAGGGGCAGUACAGGACUCACGUGGCGUCCAAGGAGAGUCGUCGCCGGGACAACAAGAUCUUGCAGCUCUAUGGUGAGGCAGUGUCUGGCGGGUCUGAGGAGCACAUCACUCCAGAGGCAGAGUGGAUGGAGAAGCAGGGCUACAGGUGGACUGAGUCUGAGGAGGAUGUCGAGGAGACCAUCCCUGCUGCCGAGGAGACCGACGGAGAGGCUUGGGACGAGUUCUCUGCUUGAGCCACCUCUUGUGUGUAGGUGUCCUCUCUGCCUUUUUGGCGUUUCGAUGCCAAAGGGGGAGAGAGUGUAGGGAUUUGCGAGCGUGUCGUGUGUUUGCUGCUUUCUCGUUUGUGUCGUGUGUUUGCUGCUUUCUCGUUUGAACUUCGGUAGCUUUACUUCGUAUGGUGUAAGACAUAUGCACUCUAUCUAUCCUAGCGAGCUUGUGUUUUAUUGUGCUAUAUUUAUGCUACGCUAUGCUUAUUAUCAUGCCUUGGUCUCUAAAAUAUAGGGGGGGUGUUGAUCCUAGUCUAUGUGCUAUGCAGUCCAAAGCAUUCAUCUAAAGUGCACACAUCUAGGGGGAGCCCGUCUAUAUUUUAGAGAGGUGGGGUUUGCCCCUGCUCUAAAUUAUCUUAUCUAUAUGCAAAUCCCGUGUUGUCAUCAAUCCACCAAAAAGGGGGAGAUUGUAAGGGCAUAUUUAUCCCUCAGGUGUUUUGGUGAUUGAUGACAAUGCAUUUGCGGACUAAUCGUGUGCCUUGAGUUUCUCAGGUUAUUCAUCUCUAGGCACGAGACGAUUCGGUGCCCCUCGGAGACUUUUGAAGUCGGCGUUGUUCUACGUUUCUCGUUGGUGGAUUUGAGUCGUAGGAGAGCCGUACUAUUAAGAGGGGGUCCGCGUCGGAAAGGUUUGGGUGGAAUCAACACGUACACUUGUCCCUCCUUUCCCAGCAUUUUGGAGCUUCCCUUUGUUAUCUUGGUUGUGCGGAAAUCUGACGACUACUGCUGUACUUGCGGUAGUACCGCAACUACACGCGGUAAUACCGCUGUGGGUCACGGUAGUACCGCUCAUCUGGAGUGGUAGUACCGCGGCUCCCAGGCCUUGUGCCGCUCCGGUGCGGUAGUAGGGGCGGAUGUAAUUUUUUACAUCCGCGCCCUCCAUGGAAGUACCGCUCGUCCAGCGCGGUAGUACUGCGGGGGCCCACGGUAGUACCGCUCCCUAGGAGUCGUAGUACCGUGGCCCUCCUACCUAGUACUCGCGGUAGUAGGCGCGGAUGUAAAUUUUUACAUCCGUGCCCGCGCGUUAGUACCGCGCCUCGCGAGCGGUAGUACCGCGUCGGAUUUUUGUACCACCUCUGUUUCAGUGGAAGUAGGCACGAAUGUAAUUUAUUUCAUCCGUGCCCUUCCCAGGCCGUGACUCUCCUGCCUAGCGGUAGUACCGCAAGUGGGUGCGGUAGUACCGCGCAAGCGGUAGUACUGCCCCCUUGUCAGGCUAGUUCCGGCCUGUGCUGCUGUCGCGGUAGUACUGUGGUCAGCCACGGUAGUACCGCAUAGCUUCGCGGUAGUACCGCUCCCCUGGAGUGGUAGUACCGUGUGUCGCGGGCUGAACAUGUGGAUAACGGUUGGAUUCUUUCCACGACUAUAUAAGGGGUGUCUUCUACCUCUAGUUGACUACCUCUUCCAUCUCUAAGUUCCAUUGUUGCUCCAAGCUCCAUUUUCACUCGAUCUCUCUCCCUAGCCAAUCAAACUUGUUGAUUUGCUCGGGAUUGGGUGACAAGUGCCCGAUCUACACUUCCACCAUAGGAUAUUUGAUUCCCCCCACUUAUCCCUAGCGGAUCUUGUUACUCUUGGGUGUUGAGCACCCUAGACGGUUGAGGUCACCUCAAAGCCAUACUCCAUUGUGGUGAAGCUUCGCGGUAUUGUUGGGAGCCUCCAAGUGUUGUGGAGAUUGCCCCAAUCUUGUUUGUAAAAGGUCCGGUUGCCGCCUUCAAGGGCUCCAAUAGUGGAAUCACGGCAUCUCGCAUUGUGUGAGGGCGUGAGGAGAUUACGGUGGCCCUAGUGGCUUCUUGGGGAGCAUUGUGCCUCCACACCGCUCUAACGGAGACGUACUUCCCCUUAAAAGGAAGGAACUUCGGUAACACAUCCUCGUCUCCACCGGCUCCACUCUUGGUUAUCUUAUCCCUUUACUUUUGCAAGCUUACUUGUGCUAUAUCCAUUGCUUGCUUGUGUGCUUGUUGUCUUUGCAUCAUAUAGGUUGUCCACGUAGUUGCACAUCUAGACAACCUAUUUCAUUGCAAGGUUUAAAUUGUUAAAGAAAAGUCUAAAAAUUGUUAGUUGCCUAUUCACCCCCCUCUAGUCAACCAUAUCGAUCCUUUCAGUAGUCAAUAGAACAUUGUCUACUAUGCUUAGGGAUGUUUUGAAGAAUAAUAAGAAAAUGUGGGAAGAAUGCUUGCCUCUUAUUGAAAUUGCUUAUAAUCGUUCGUUGCAUUCUACUAGUAAGAUGUGCCCUUUUGAAAUUGUGUAUGGUUUUCUACCUCGUGCACCUAUUGAUUUGUUGCGUCUUCCAUCUUCAGAGAAGGUUAAUUUUGAUGCUAAAAAUGUGUUGAAUUGAUCUUAAAAAUACAUGAGUUAACCAAGGAAAACAUUGAGCGUAUGAAUGAUAAAUAUGAACUUGCUAGAGAUAAGGGUAGAAAACAUAUUGUGUUUGCACCUGGAGAUCUUGUUUGGUUACAUUUGCGUAAGGAUAGAUUUCUUGAUUAGCGCAAAUCAAAGCUAAUGCCACAUGCUAAUGGUCCUUUUAAGGUGUUAUAGAAAAAAAAUGAUAAUUCAUAUAAACUUGAGCUGCCUGCAGAUUUUGGGGUUAGUCCCACCUUUAAUAGUGCAGAUUUGAAGCCUUAUUUGGGUGAGGAAGAUGAGCUUCCGUCGAGGACGACUUCAUUUCAAGAAGGGGAGGAUGAUAAGGACAUCAAUAUCAUUGUUACACCCACAGCCCCUGCUACUAUACAUACUGGACCAAUUAUUAGAGCUCGCACACGCCAAUUAAAUUACCAGGUACUUUUGUUUCUUGGUAAUGAUUCUAAUAUUCAUGAGAAUAUGAUGCGGCCUAAAUUGGAUACAUUUGUUUUGCUUACAAAUGAAGGGCCUAGCUUGGAGAAGGAUGAACAUUGGAGCAAGAACAAGCAUGGAGAUGAUGGCAUGCACAAGGGAAACAAGAACAGAGUUUCAAGUAAUGAUUUCAGGACUUUAAAACCACCAUAAUGAGUGCAUGAAGGAUUGGGCGAACUAUACAAGAUGCCACUUCACAAAUUUCAUCCAGAGGCUAUUAUAGGUGUUGUGUUACCUUAUUAUUGGGCCAGACCCAUGUAAUUUCGAAAUACAUAAGUAUAGGUUGUUUUUAGAGUCCACAUGUGCAGGAAACAAAAUUAGGGUUAGUUUCGGACCCCUCCUACAAGGAGUCACAAAAUCCCCCCUACUCCUCCAUAUAUACAGCCCUUAGGGCGUCAUUCAGACUUUGGGUUUUGUUUAGAUUAAAAGUUCUCCAUAGCUGCAACUUCAUGUACUUUGUUUGUGUUCAACGAACAGAUCAAGACGUCACAGAACCCCACCUUGAUCAAUAAAGCUUUCAUCUUGUAUUUGCAAUAUCCAGAUUGUAAUCUUAGUUUCUUGCUUAUUAUUUGUUUACUUGCAGGAAAUAGACCCUCGUGGUCAGGUUGAUCGUGCUCCAGCAUGGACAAUAACCCCUUGGAAGUUGGUUUAGCGAUUGCUAACUCGCGACGUCUCGCACGUUCAUAGUCGGAUCGUCAAGAGUCGACUCCCACAGAAAACGAUAGCUAUCUCGUCAAAACAUCAGGACACCCUCGCCUCUAUCAUGUUCAUAUCCUACGCAUGCUAGUAUCCAAUGUUCAUUAUACAUAAUGCAUGUUCAUGACCGUUUUUGCUCUCUAGUUGGCUGCUUCCCAACCUAAUUGCUAGCCUUCGCCUGUAUUAAGCGGAAUUACUGCUUGUGCAUCAAAAAUCCUAAAACCCAAGUUAUUCCAGAUGAGUCCACCAUACCUAUCUAUAUGUGGUAUUACCCUACCGUUCUAAGUAAAUUUGCAUGUGCCAUCUCUAAAAACUUCAAAUAAAUAUCCUUUUUUAUGUGCCUGGAUUGUUCAUAGAGCGACAUGAGGUAGUCAGUAUCUUCCAUGCUAAGCGGGUUAUUCUCAUGAUGAGUGUUUAUUCACUCGUCCUUGCACGAGAGAGGUGGUAAUAGGGAUUCCCAGUCCCGAAAUGAAAUUGCAAAUAAUUAAAUAAAACUCCCCCAGGACUGAUGUUGGUAUGGAUGGUACCCGUGGAUUCGGUUAGCCGUGGAACGUGUUUGUUGGUGGAGGGGGAGUAAACCUUUACUUUUGUCGCUUGGGAACCGCCACUAAUGUGUUUAGCAUGGAAGAUAUUGAUUACCAAUGGUCGUGAAGUAAACAAGAAGGGUGCAUUUCUCAAAAUUUCAUUUACCUCUGUUUUAGAAAUUGAGCUCUGGCGUCGCUGCAAAUCCAUGCUUCCCUCUGCGAAGGGACUAUCUAUUUAUCUUUAUGUUGAGUCAUCACCUUCUCAAAUAAGCACCAGAUCCUGAGAUCACUAUUGUCAUCCCCGUGCAUUGUGUAUAGUUAAUGUUGGGUGCAUCAUGACUGGAUCUUUUCUACCAUGAAUUACAAUGUUUAUUCAUUGCUUGAACUUUGGAGGUGCUCUGCAUUUAUGUUUUGCGGUCUCGGAAAGGGCGAGAUAUCACUAUUGUCAUAUUAUAUCAUGAUUGUUUUGACAGGGAGAUAUUUUAUUAUUGCUCGCUAGUUGAUUAUGUCAUUGAUAUGAGUUAAUAUAAUUUCUAAGAGUUAUUGUUGACAUGGUUGGUUAUAAUCUUUGCUGAAAACCUAGGUGCUAUUUAAGCUUAUUUAUGUAAACAAGAGCAAAAGAGUUUGUAAAAGUUUUUCCUUUUCACUUUUAGUUUAUCAACUGAAUUGCUUGAGGAAAAGAAAAUAUUUAAGCUUGGGGGAGUUGAUACGUCUCCGUCGUAUCUACUUUUCCUCUUGUUUUGGACUCUAAUUUGCAUGAUUUGAAUGAAACUAACCCGGACUGACGUUGUUUUUAGCAGAACUACCAUGGUGUUGUUUUUGUGCAAAAAUAAAAGUUCUCGGAUUGAAAUGAAACUUUGCGAGGAUUUUUUUAUAUAAUAAAAGAAAAAUACUAGAGCCAAGAACCACCGGAGGGGGGCCCUGGGUGAGCACAACCCACCAGGGCGCCCCCCUCAGGCACGCCCAGGUGGGUUGUGCCCACCUGGUGGCCCUGCAGACCUUGAUUCCAACGCUAUAAAAUCCUAUUUUUUUAGAAAAAAAAUUCAGGGAGUAAGAAUUAUCUCGUUACAUGAUACGGAGCCGCCACCACCUCCUGUUGUUCAUCAGGAGGCCAGAUCGGGAGUCCGUUUUGGGCUCAGGAGAGGGGUAUCUUCGAUCUUUGUCAUCACCAACCCUCCUUCAUCGCCAAUUCCAUGAUGCUCCCCACCAGGAGUGAGUAAUUCCUUCAUAGGAUCGCUGGUCGACGAGGAGUUGGAUGAGAUUCAUCAUGUAAUCGAGUUAGUUUUGUUAGGGCUUGAUUCCUAGUAUCCACUAUGUUCUGAGAUUGAUGUUGAUAUGACUUUGCCAUGCUUAAUGCUUGUCACUUUGGGCCUGGGUGCCAUGAUUUCAGAUUUGGACCGUUUAUGUUAUCACCAUUAUAUCUAUGUUCUAGAUCUGAUCUUGCAAGUCGAAUUCACCUAUUACGUGUUAUGAUCCGUAAACCCCAGAGUGACAAUAGUCGGGAUACUUUCCGAUGAUGACCGUAGUUUGAGGAGUUCAUGUAUUCACUAUGUGUUAAUGCUUUGUUCCGGUUCUCUAUUAAAAUCAUGCCUUAAUAUCCCUUAGUUUCCAUAUGGACCCCGCUGCCAUGGGAGGGUAGGACAAAAGAUGUCAUGCAAGUUCUUUCCACAAGCACGUAUGACUAUUUACGGAAUACAUGCCUACAUUAUAUCUAUGAACUGGAGCUAGAGACGCAUCGCCUUAGGUUAUGAUUGUUAUAUGAUGAAUAUCAUCCAACGAAUUCACACAUCCAAUGCCUACGAAUUCUCUUAUAUUGUUCUUGCUAAAUUACUACUGUUACUGUUACUACUACACUUGCUACAAAAUCAUUGCUAUCAUUGUUACCGUUACUAUUGCUGUUGCUACCACUAUCAAACUUAUCAUACUACUUUGCUACUGAUCACUUUGCUGUAGAUAAUUAAUCUCCAGGUGUGGUUGAAUUGACAACUUAGCUGCUAAUACUUGCGAAUAUUUUUUGGCUUCUCUUGUGUCGAAUCAAUAAAUUUGGGUUGAAUACUCUACCCUCAAAAACUGUUGCGAUCCCCUAUACUUGUGAGUUAUCAGCAUGCUAUAGGUAAUUAUACUUAUCAUCGUCAAGCUCCCAUCAAUAUUCGUGAUAGAUAUUGGUUCGCAAGUAAGGUUGACGUAGAUACUUGCAGUCUCCUUGUCGCAUCCUCGAUAGGUCUCUGGGAUCUUCUACUCAUGUAUGUCGCCUACUUCUAGUUGAACCUGACAUGGUCAGAUGAUGGAUCAAUGGAUGGUGAUGGUCACUUAACUGAUGUAGGACUUGCUUUGUCGGAGGUCACUCCUUGUUUUGUCGCGGGUGCGAGGUCGAUCUUGGUCGCGGUUGUAUCCUUGACUCUUGAUAUGGGGCAGGUCCAUGGGUGGCCCAAUUUUCAUGAAUUGGAAGUGGACUUGAGGAAAAACAUGAACACAUGGGAAAACAUGAGAAAUUCGGAGGCAGACUGGUUGCAAUCUGAGCGGCGCACCGAGCCCAAAUUUGCUCAAGGAGAACCGGGGCUCUGAAGUGGGCAUCGCUUACGUGGUGAUCCGCUGUCGGGCCAGAGCUACAUGCGAACGAUGAUUUGCGAGUACAUGUGGUGGGUGGCCACAUAGAGGGGAAAGAAAUGAGACUGUGGCGCGUUUUGGGGGUCAUCGUCCAAUUUAAGUAGCCAGAUUUGGCCCAUCAAGCGGCGCAUUAGAGCGGCGUUUUCGCCGGACCACCGAGUAAUUACGGGUGUCCAUAUGGAUCCCACACGUCAGCCUGAAGUGGCCGACGCACCCAUGUGCAUUCGGGCCUCCUAAUAUCUGCCCUAAAUUUGGGUUGAGUAUGAGAGGUGUCGUUCAGCCCGGACGUAUAGAGCCGGUUUGAGAAGCCCGUCUGGAUUACAUUUUUGUGACCGGUCACUGACCGGAUCGUUCCCCAGACAUGGCAUUUGAGAAGCCCGGCUUGCUUGGUAUAGCAGAUAAUGUGGUUUUACCCCUUUUAAUAAAAGAAGUUUUUAUAUACCUUUAAAAGGCGAUUCUUCCAUAAAAAACAUAAAGACAAGGUAACAAGACUUCUUUUUCUUUGAGAAGAAAAGGUGAUAAAGACUCGGACUGCUCACGAGUUCUGGUGAUUGAUACGUCUCCAACGUAUCUAUAAUUUAUGAAGCAUUCAUGCUAUUAUAUUAUCUGUUUUGGAUGUUUACGGGCUUUAUUAUACACUUUUAUAUUAUUUUUGGGACUAACCUAUUAACCGGGGGCCCAACCCAUAUUGUUGUUUUCUUGCCUAUUUCAAUGUUUCAAAGAAAAGGAAUAUCAAACGGAGUCCAAACGAAUGAAACCUUUAGGAGCGUGAUUUUUGGAACGAACUUGAUCCAGGAGACGUGGAGCUGAAGUCAGGGAAGCUUCGAGGAGGCCACGAGGCAGGGGGGCGCGCCCACCCCCUCUGGGCGCGCCCUCCACCCUCGUGGGCCCCUCGUGGCUCACCUGACCGACUUCUUUCGCCUAUAUAAGUCCAUAUACCCUAAAACCUUUGAGGAGAACAAUAGAUCGGGAGUUCCGCUGCCGCAAGCCUCUGUAGCCACCAAAAACCAAUCGGGACUCUGUUUCGGCACCCUGCCGGAGGGGGAUCCCUCACCGGUGGCCAUCUUCAUCAUCCCAGCGCUCUUCAUGAUGAGGAGGGAGUAGUUCACCCUCGGGGCUGAGGGUAUGUACCAGUAGCUAUGUGUUUGAUCUCUCUCUCUCUCUCUCUCUCUCUCUCGUGUUCUUGAUUUGGCAUGAUCUUAAUGUAUCACGAGCUUUGCUAUUAUAGUUGAUCUUAUGAUAUUUCUCCCCCUCUACUCUCCUGUAAUGGAUUGAGUUUUCCCUUUGAAGUUAUCUUAUUGGAUUGAGUCUUUAAGGAUUUGAGAACACUUGAUGUAUGUCUUACCAUGCUUAUCUGUGGUGACAAUGGGAUAUUCACGUGAUCUACUUGAUGUAUAUUUUGGUGAUCAACUUGCGGGUUCAGUGACCUUGUGAACUUAUGCAUAGGGGUUGGCACACGUUUUCGUCUUGACUCUUCGGUAGAAACUUUGGGGCACUCUUUGAAGUACUUUGUGUUGGUUGAAUAGAUGAAUCUGAGAUUGUGUGAUGCAUAUCGUAUAAUCAUGCCCACGGAUACUUAAGGUGAUAAUGGAGUAUCUGGUGACAUUAGAGUUUUGGUUGAUUUGUGUCUUAAGGUGUUAUUCUAGUAUGAACUAUAUAAUAGAUCGAACGUAAAGAAUAGCUUCAUGUUAUUUUACUACGGACUCUUGAAUAGAUAGAUUAAAAAGGAUAACUUUGAGGUGGUUUCGUACCAUACCAUAAUCUCUUCGUUUGUUCUCUGCUAUUAGUGAUUUUGGAGUGACUCUUUGUUGCAUGUUGAGGGAUAGUUAUAUGAUCCAGUUAUGUUAUUAUUGUUGAGAGAAUUUGCACUAGUGAAAGUAUGAACCUUAGCCCUUAUUUCCUAUCAUUGCAAUACCGUUUACGCUCACUUUUAUCGCUUGCUAACUUGCUGUUUUUAUAAUUUCAGAUUACAAAUACAUUUAUCUACCAUCCAUAUUGUACUUGUAUCAUCUCUUCGCCGAACUAGUGCACCUAUACAAUUUACCAUUAUAUUGGGUGUGUUGGGAACACAAGAAACUCUUUGUUAUUUGGUUGCAAGGUUGUUUGAGAGAGACCAUCUUCAUCUUACGCCUCCCACGAAUUGAUAAACCUUAGGUCAUCAACUUGAGGAAAAUUUGCUACUGUCCUACAAACAUCUGUACUUGGAGGUCCAACGACGUCUACAGAAACAAGGUUGUAUAGUAAACAUUAGUGACCGUCGUCUUUUCCCCCACAAGUUCGGCCACUGGUUGCCGGGAUCCGCUACAAGUUCGCCGGCUUUUCACCNNNNNNNNNNNNNNNNNNNNNNNNNNNNNNNNNNNNNNNNNNNNNNNNNNNNNNNNNNNNNNNNNNNNNNNNNNNNNNNNNNNNNNNNNNNNNNNNNNNNNNNNNNNNNNNNNNNNNNNNNNNNNNNNNNNNNNNNNNNNNNNNNNNNNNNNNNNNNNNNNNNNNNNNNNNNNNNNNNNNNNNNNNNNNNNNNNNNNNNNNNNNNNNNNNNNNNNNNNNNNNNNNNNNNNNNNNNNNNNNNNNNNNNNNNNNNNNNNNNNNNNNNNNNNNNNNNNNNNNNNNNNNNNNNNNNNNNNNNNNNNNNNNNNNNNNNNNNNNNNNNNNNNNNNNNNNNNNNNNNNNNNNNNNNNNNNNNNNNNNNNNCUGGCUGCGAGGUGCGAUCAAAGGCUUUGUAUCUGAAGCCCAUAGGGGCCCAAACAAAGCCCACCUACUGGUGCAAAUUUCCCCUUCCGCACAACCACACGCGGCGGCGGCGGUGUGUAGAGAGAGAAUAAUGGAGGGGAGAGAAGACGACAAGAAAGGCGGCGCCGCCGCCCCCGGCAGCUCAGCGCCGGGGACGAGAUUCAAGAACCUGGUCUCCAGGGAAUACUACAGCCACAAGAAGAAGGUACGGCUCCAUGCCCCACCCUGCACGGGAAUUCUCUCUCUGCGCCCCUAAAACCCAAAAUCCCGCGAGAAAGAAGUCCGAAAUUAUCCAAUGCCGGAUCUUUCCUUGAUGUGAAAUCCCUCGAACCCUAGCGUCGCAAGCUAAAAGGAGGAUAGGAUAUGAAAGUUUCAAUAUUUGGGUCGUCCGGUUUCGUUUUCUACAUGGGAGCAAAGUUGUGGGGAAACUUCGAUUCGAGCUAAUUGUUAGGUCACCAGUUUUUCUUUUUUGGAGAAAAGUAUACUGAUCAUACUUUCUUUGUCGAGUGGUUCUUUUCCAUUAUAAUGAAGAAAAUUGGUGUUAGCAUGCUGAGAAAGAAAACCAAUUUCGAGUCAGGCGCUUAUUUAGUUUCGUAAGUUUGUUGGGGAAAGAGGGAGAAACCAUCUUCCUUUCAGAAAAAAACAUUGUAUUUGAGAGGAUCAUUUGGUUGCUUUAUGUUGUUUGUUUUGCUAAAAAGAACUCCUUCUACUAUAAAUGUAUAAUACACAAUACUUAUGCAUAAAAUUGUAGUUGCUUUUGCGCUCUUUGUUCUUGCUUAUCAAUGCAGAUUUUCGUAUGAUCACUGAUCUUUUGUAUUUUAUUAGGUGCACUCUGUAGCAUGGAACUGCAUAGGCACAAAGCUUGCUUCAGGCUCUAUAGAUCACACUGCCCGUGUCUGGAGCAUUGAUCCCCAUGGCCAUGUAACUUUCUCUCCUGGUUUUCUAAUUACUACAAGAAUAACCCUGCUUGUUACAGAGUUAGAUAACCCUUUUUUGUUGUCAAGCACUCCAAUUUUUUAUACCUUUUCUUUUGUGAAAUCUAUGUAAUUGGGAAUCUCUUUCUCAUAGAAUGCUAGUACCAAAUUACGAUCUUAGCAACAAUAUAUUGUAGCAUGCAUAUUUGCUUUGGCAUGCUCAUGCUGGCCCUUAGUAUACCAAAGAUGGGUCAGUAUAAUUGGAUGACUGCAAUCUACCAAGCUAUCUAUUAUCUUGAAAUUGCAGAAGUUUACCAGGCAUUCUGUAUUCCUGUUUGCAGGAUUGUGUGCACAAUAGGGGCACCUUAACGAGAGCAGAUUUUGUGCCAAUAGUUGCCACUAUGUUCAUUAUUCAAAAUCCACUUUCUGAGUUUUAAGUAAUGUGAAACAAUUCAUUGGCGUAAAUAUUCUAUGCCAUGUGCGCAGUGGACCUGCUAAAAUUCAUCAGCAAAUAUGACUUAUUGUGACAUGUACAAAAGAGACAAAUUUAUGGUUAUGUUACUUAAAGGUCUUCUCUUUUUAAUCUAGUUCGUAAUAUUCAUAUUCUUGGACAAAAUCCAUGACUUAUUUUUUUGAAACUCGGAAAAGAGAAGAGAAGAAUAUGGGAUGUAGUGGAACCUAGUUGCCAAAUUCACUUUCCCCACCUUAACACAUUUAAGGAUUUCCGUUAUGUCUGUUCGGUUCCUUAGUUACCUCUUGUAAUCAAAUUCAUUAUUGUUUUCAGUUUGUAGAACACUGUGGCCAUAGUUUAUUAACAUGAGCCAAUGAGCAGUGAAUUUUAUUCUGUACAAGGGUAUUACUUGGAACAAGUUAUGCAUUUAUCGACGAACUGUUAGCUACAGUAAAUUGGUUUACUUGCUUAAGAAUGGACAUUUAGCUCUUUUGUAGGAGGGUGUGCAUAUUAGAUUAGAUUUUGUUCCAUUGGAACUUCCAGACUGCAAACAAUGCUGACACCACUUCUUAUCAUACACAGUCCAAGGUUAAAGACAUUGAACUGAAAGGCCACUCAGAUAGUGUAGAUCAGUUAUGCUGGGAUCCAAAGCAUCCUGACACAGUUGCCACUGCAGCUGCUGACAAGUCAAUUCGCCUUUGGGAUGCGCGAAGUAAGUAAUACACUUCAUCUUUGAUGGUCAAGGUGCUAAAACUGCCAGUCUAGUUCAGCAUUGUUAAUGACUUGGGGCAUUUACAUUUCUGCCCUUAAACUCGAACCCACUACUCAGAUAUACCCCUAAUUCUUGAAGCUGCUCAAAUCUGUACCUUUUCCAUCAAGGCUCGUUAUAGAAAUACCCUUUCGUGCCGUUUCCGUCCUGUCAAAGGUGCUUGACCGUUUACAGGAUGUUUCCUGGUCAUUUUUGCCCCUCCUUACAAGCAGAUGAGCUCUCUAUGGAUAAGUCACUUACAAGUGGUCCCAUCCCAUGAAAAAGGAAAAAAAAGGGGAAAAUCCCCCUUUGUCUCCUCGGCCAGCCACCCGACCCCUUUCGUCCAGAGCCACCAUGGCUCCUGCUGGCUCCAGUCGUGGUGGUCAGCUCCCAGCGGUGCUGGUAGCAGCAUAGCAUGGCGCUCAGGUGCGCGUAGGCCGUCGACGGUUCGAGUUCUGGUCUCCGUCAAGGCCCUGCCCUCCUCUGCCUCCUCCCAAGUAACCCCCCAUUUGCCAUCGACACGGUGAACCCGCAGCCUCGUCCAUCCCGCAUCCACCUUGAGUACGUCUUCGGUCGCUGCUGUCUCCUGCAUACCGGGAGGCAUCGACAACGGCACGGGCGUGGCCUCCUGCAAGCACGUCUUGGCGCUCCCAUGUCCGGUUCAUGCCGCUGCGGCCGUCGCGUCUCGUUCCCACGACCAAUGCCCUUGAUAUGAUGCAUGACCUUGCCUUCUAGCCUCUUGUUGCUGCUAUCAGCUGUCUGGUAGAAGGAAUCGAUGUGGGAUGGUCGGAAUCAACGCCAUGCUCAUCGUCUUCCUCGCCUCCGGCAUUGGUCCGUCGCGCGGUGCCGCGGAGCCUUCACUCCGAUGCGUACCACCGUUCCCGAGCAAGUAUUCUUCAUCGAGGGGAGCCUCUGGCCCUCCACAGACUCUUCCCUCUCCCACUCAUGCCAUCUAUCGCUGACACAUGUGCAAACAACGUCCAGAGCUUGCUGCCACCAGCGAAGUUUGUCAUUGUCGUGGCAAGAGUCGUUCCCAAACCCAGAGGCUGUGUCCAUUAGCUUUGCCAUACCUUGUAGAGCCUUCCCUCUAAAGGAAUUUGAUCGAGUUGACGUGAAUCGUUGACAUGGCCGUCCACCGCACUAUCGAUCUUCUCCUUGGCUGAACCCUGGCGAUUUCCCUCGGGUUCUUCAGCUCUGCGAAGACUUCCUGAGGCCGCUUCUGCCAUCCCCUUUGAGCCUGGUGUCCUCAAGCAUGCGAGUGAUCUGGUGAUGGCCACCUCGCGGUGUGCGGCCAGUUCGUGCAGCAGCCACGCAGCUGCUGGUCUGUGCUCCGGUCAUGCCAUCGUCUGAGGUGUGGUGCUGCUGCGCGCCUGCGCCGCGCCGCACCGGAGGUGACGGGCGGCGUUGCUGGCCGGAGAGAGAGCGGCGCACCGGAUGGUCUGGCUUNNNNNNNNNNNNNNNNNNNNNNNNNNNNNNNNNNNNNNNNNNNNNNNNNNNNNNNNNNNNNNNNNNNNNNNNNNNNNNNNNNNNNNNNNNNNNNNNNNNNNNNNNNNNNNNNNNNNNNNNNNNNNNNNNNNNNNNNNNNNNNNNNNNNNNNNNNNNNNNNNNNNNNNNNNNNNNNNNNNNNNNNNNNNNNNNNNNNNNNNNNNNNNNNNNNNNNNNNNNNNNNNNNNNNNNNNNNNNNNNNNNNNNNNNNNNNNNNNNNNNNNNNNNNNNNNNNNNNNNNNNNNNNNNNNNNNNNNNNNNNNCGAGAAAGUUUUUACCUUUUUUUCCUUUUCAUUCCUAGAGGGCCCUACCUGUAAGGAAACAUCCUGUAGACGGUCAAACCCCCUUGACUGGUUGGAAACGGCACAGAACAGUAUUUCUACAAGGAGCCUUGACGGAAGAAGGGCAGAUUUGAGCAGCCUCGAGAAUUAGGGGUAUAUCUGAUUAUGGGUUUGAGCAGAAACAUAAAUGUCGUUAAUUAAUUUUGCAUAUUUUGUUAUGAAUUUGGUGUUAUCAGACGAGAGUUCUUAUGUGGGAAUUUGACGUGAAGUUAGUAUCAUUGUACUCAGUAUUCUGCAUAGAUGAUACAUUUUGUUUCAGUCUCUUCUUACCAUGUUCUGUGAUGGUGGUAGUUUACCUUUUUGUCAGGUUAUAUUUACUAAUCCAGUUUGUCUUUAACUAGUUUAUUUAUGUUUUUCUUUUCAGGUGGGAAAUGCCAAGUUGUUGAACUCAGUGGAGAAAACAUCAACAUCACAUACAAACAUGAUGGCACUCACAUAGCUGUUGGAAAUAAGGUUUACAAUAACAGAACAUGGGUACAUUAGAUUGUAAUAUAUUUUUGGUGCCUAGCUGUUUGUCUAGCAUAUUGAUUUGAAGGAAUGGGACAUUCAUUCAUGUUCAACAUUGUCUUCAUGACGCUUGUGUUUCUUCAUCUCCUUUGGUUUUCUUCUGAUAGUAUAUUGAAUUACUGAUAGCAUAUUGGUUUAUUGCCCUUAUUUCAAAAAUAGAAAAAAUAUCCUGAUAUGUUUGUGUUACGCGCCAUCAUGGUGUGACCCAGCUAACAUAACCCUUGCUAUCUGUCUACCUUUGUUAUUGUGCUGCACUCUUUUCCUUCAGUCUAUACCUUGUGUGAGUUUGCUAAGGUUUAGAUCUUCUGUCGACCUAAUUACUAUGCAACAAAUGAAAUCAUAUCAUGCAUAGAAGUAUGUGGCCGUAUUGUCAUAUAUGUGUUUUUGAGAAAAUGCUGGAUCACCGUAUCAUGUACCAGUAUUCAUGCAAUGUAGAUUGGUAAUAAUGCACCUGGAGAUGUACGCAUCUGGUUAGUAUCUAUCAAUUAGAUGGAAGUCUUGGCAUUUUUCUUGCUUAGUUUCUUCAGUAUGACAAGUGAUAUGUAAAGUUCAUGUAGUAUCGAAAUCAAACUCUUUUUGAGUGUCAUGUAAGUUAGCAUGUUUCCUGAAAAUGUACAUGAUAUGCAUUUACUUUACGAGUUACUAGUUCGUUCAGCUAUAAUAACAGCUGCUGCUAAUGAUCUGUAGGAGGAUGAGCUAACCAUAGUGGAUGUUCGGAAGCUAAAACCCGUCCACAAACAGAAGUUCCCUUACGAGGUACUUAACAAAUGAAGUUUGGACACUGGAAACACCCUUUAGCAGUUCUUUUCUGUUCUAAAUCCAGCUAUGUUUUGGGGUACCCGUGCAUAUCGAUGUGAUAAGAAAUAUAGUGAGCCACAUGUUCAUUUGUCUUGUCGUAGACCAAAAAGUUGUGCACUGAUGUUUAUUUUUCGGGGGGAAAACAGUAAGGAUACCUACUGAUACUCUGAAUGCACAAUGAUAUAUGAUACCAACCAGCUGAAUCUAUAUAAUGCAUUUACUGUACUACUGAUGUUCACGCCUUGCUAAACUUUAUAUUGUCAAUUUCCUGCAUUUCUUGUUUUUCGUGACUUGUGGCGUGUGUGUUUCUUAUUAAAUGUCUGAAGUGAAUUCUUGAUUUGUCCCCCAGAUUAAUGAGAUUGCAUGGAAUAAAACUGGAGAUUUAUUCUUCAUAACUACUGGGCUUGGUAAGAUGCUAAGAUGUAUUUUCCUCUUAAUUAUGAAUAUUUAAGCUCCUCAAUUGUGAAAAUGGAACAAGGAGCCUUGAUGUUGUCAGAUGUCAGGUGGCAGGAUCACAUAAGUUGAUGUUAAUGCUGCUGCCCGGUUUUGUUCUUUAUGUAGGAUUUGUUGAGGUGGUCAACUAUCCUUCCCUUGAUGUUGUCUGCAAAUUAAAUGCCCAUACAGCAGGGUGCUAUUGCAUAGCAAUGGAUCCCCUUGACAGGUGAGAAAAUUCUUUGUUCAGUUUGUUGUUUCAGUUAUUUGCGCUGAACAUGUUUUAAACAUGGAACGGUAGGGGAGAACCCUAAGGAUUAUUUGAAUUACAAAUAUAUAGUAUUUACUUACGAAGGACCAACCGUAUUUACUAAAAAAUACAUAAAAAGGCUCGAGCUUGCGAUUCGUUUUUACUCUGGAUCUAGUUGAUUUGCUGUAUUUUAGUUCCUUACACUAGUUACUGGGUUGCUAGAUAUGCUAUUUGAGUUAACACUAAAGCUAUAUUCUGACUUUUCGUAAGAGCUAUUGAAAUUGUAUCCUAGCUUCAUCUUUAGAGAGAAAUCGUAUCCAAACUACCUGCAGUUGAGUAAAUACCUAUUACUUAUAGGUAACUCCAUAGGUGAUUUAUGAAGAGGAUUUCUGAGAAACUGGUUUAGGGAAACACGUAUGGGCUCAGGAAAGGGAUCCCCCGAAUAUUGGAUAGCCGUUUGUAAACCAGGUCGUAAACUUUAUAUAUACUGGGAAUAUAUCCCGUGGCCUAUGGAAACCAUUGGUUUAGUGGAAGAAUGAAAACCAUGAUUAGGAUGUUGAUCCUCUCCACACACUUUGCUCAAUUACUAAAAAGAGAGGAAAUGCAUUAUCAUGGAAUUUUGCAGAGAACUCCUCGUAUGCUCUCGUCAUGGGUAACUUCCCCAGAAUGUGUUGCUUUUCUCAAAAAGAUGUUAAUUAGGCACUCUUAUUUGUCAUAACUAGGCAAAGAUAUACUAACUGGCCACAGGUAACCUGCUACAUGUCCACCCUUGCAGGGGUUUCAUAGGUUAUCCUCCCAUAUAUAUCUACAAUGCCGGAUUCAGAGUUAAUUUAGAAAAUUAAAAUUCACCACACGGUCCAAAUUCUUUUCUCCGCAACUAUACAAUGAUCACCAAGCGUUUUUUGUUUGUUUGUUUGAAACUGACUGUAAACUUUUUUUUGCGGGAAGGAACUGAUUAUAAAUUAAGAGCCUGAACAAACUAAUCAUGUGGAGAAGUAGCAAGUUGUGCUCCACAAGUACAAAUUGUAUUAGUGUGUUAUGUUUUGAUGUCAACAUCCAGGUAGAGUACAAUUGUUUUGAUGGUCACACUUACAGAAUGUUUUGAUGUCAGGUAUUUUGCUGUUGGAAGUGCAGAUUCACUUGUCAGUCUUUGGAAUGUCAAAGAGCUGCUAUGCAUUAAAACCUUCACAAAACUUGAGUACGUCUUUAUCUACUAUAUUGAACUUCUUUAGAUUACUAUCAUAGAAAUAGCUUCAGAUGCUUUUUGUUUGAAUUAGCCGCAGUUAGGGCCAACAAGUUUUCUCUCAAUGUAACAGUACAUAUUUGAUAUACCAUGGGCAUGAUGUUCACAUUGAAAUUAGUAAACGAUUUGUGCAUAUCUGUGUUAUUUCUAGGGGUGCAAGCGGCAUCCCGCUUCAUCGCGCAAAACUCAUUGGUUAGUUCAUAGUUUGCUCAUCACUUGCCUAAAGUUUGCAGACAAAAAAAAAAUUGUACUAUAGUAUUGUCUGCUAGCCCGCCCCGCUUGCAUCCCUAGUUAUUACUAUUUCCCAUGGCCUUCCCACCAAAGCCCGGCUGGCAACGGCAAUGUCGACAUUCAGGAUGUUUGUAAUCUUUUCAGUUACUUUGAUUUACUAUUUUAAUUAAUUUUAUAUUGGAUAAUACGACUACAAACAGCUCAUAAUGUUUCUUAUUAAGAAGAAUAGGGUAUGGGCUUGACUAAUCUCAUAUCACUGACUUUUGCCUCCAAACAUAAUUAGAAAGAGGGAUUGAACUAAAUCAUGGUUAGCUGAAUUGUGAUCAUUGGAAAAAACAUUCAAAGGUUAAUCUGAGUAUGACCGGAGUAACCCUAUGCGUACCAAUUUCAGGUGGCCUGUCAGAACAGUUAGCUUCAAUCACACUGGAGAAUUUAUUGCAUAUGCCAGUGAAGAUCCUUUCAUUGACAUUGUAAGUGAUCACGAACGUAGUGCAAUUUCUUAUCUAUCCGAGACUAACUGUUAUGAAAGAGUAGUUAUUUUACAAUUUUUUUCUUUCAUCAGGCCAAUAUUCAGACUGGACGAUCAAUUCAUCAGAUUCCAUGUAAAGCAGCUAUGAAUAGUGUUGAAUGGAAUCCUAAAUACAACCUCCUGGCUUAUGCAGGAGAUGACAAGAAUAAGUACCAGGCUGAUGAUGGUAUGGUGGUCGCAGUUACUCAUUUUAGUGCUGUCGAAUGAAAUAAAACGCAUAAUUUUGCUUGAACCUCUUGCUCAAUAGUUUCUGAAAAACCACAAGCACGUUAUAACAUCCCAAACAACGGAAUCUUUGCCAUUAUCUUUUCUGUUAAGAACAUCCAUUUAUGGUAAAACUAAUAUUCUUCCCUCUGUUACUUCUUUUUUCCUGUUGCCCAUUGUUUCCCGCUGCUUCUACUAUCCUGCAUCCAAGUACGUGAGUGGACAUGACGGGAAAAAUUAAGAUUCCAUUUUCUGCAUGCUAUGUUCUCAGUGUUUGGAUUUUGUAAUGCAGUUGAGGAGGUUUGUAAUGUUGUCCGUGGGAAUGUCGAUGUUUCAGGAACCAUCGAGCAAAUUUCCUCCCCGUCGAUUUCAUUAACUCCUGAACUUAAAAAAAACUAUUACCUUCAGAUGCAUUUAUUUCACUUCAUAACAAUGUAGCUUUGUGAUUGCUCAAUUCUUCAUCUUAAAAAAACAAGGUGACGUAGAAAUGCAGCAGCACUAACGUUUAUCGUCAUUCAUUUUUACAGGUGUUUUCCGAAUAUUUGGUUUUGAAAGCACAUAAUCUGAUGCGGACCGGAUUAUCACCAGCAAGUCGUCUCUCUGUAGAUUCAGUUAUCUGGCCUUACAAAUGUAACUCCAUUUUUUUGUCGGCUUGAAUGAGGUGUUUGGUUUGAGGGACUGGAUGAUGAAUGCACCCCUGUUUGGUUUGAGGUAUAGACUGUGCAUGCACUAAGCUAGUUCUAAAUGAUGGAUUAGGUAAUUUGACCAAAUUUAAGAGAUUAUCCGGCGAUGGACCGAGCUGUGAUGGUCAAGGUGAUUUUCUCAAACCAAACAUCCCAGAACCAAACAUUGUUGUUGUAUUGUACCAUAUGUGAUUACUAGAGAACAACCUGGCAUUGUAUCUUAUCCAACAGAACAUUACUGAAAAAAUAUUAAAGUAAAAUAGAUCAAAUUUUGUACAAGGUUUGUACUCCCUCGGUUCCAAUUACUUCAAGUUCUAC